AAAAAAAAAAAAAAAAGUGGGGGUUAAAUUUCAAAAUUUGGAUUUUGAGGGCAUUUUAAUCAAAUAACCCUAAAAAAUUAAAGAUAUGUUGCCGGGGAUUAAGGAGACUUCGUUUGGUCCUAGCCCCUUGUAAAAUUAAAGAUAUUUUUGUAUGAUGUCUUGUCCAUCAUAAAAAAAUUACUCAGAGAUGGUGUCGUUUGGUAAAGAGACCGAGCUCGUGGAUGGAAGCUCUGGCCCACAUCCGAAGAUUUGAUAACGACGUAUAAAGUAUAAACUACCCUAGGCCUCCGCUUAUAACUUCAUUUGUGCGUUCCUUCCCAGAAUUUGAUUCAAGAUUAGCCCUACAGCCUUUUCAGCUGAUCCAAUUUCAUAGAUUACAUGGAUGCGCCAGUUCUUUUGCUUCUUCUCGCUCUGCUUCUAUCUUCUCCACUUCCAUCGUCUACCCUCGACAGUUUGAGUCAAGGCUCAUCCCUAUCAGUUGGGAAGCCUGAACAAGUUUUAAUUUCACAAAGUGGAAUCUUUUCAGCCGGCUUCUACCCCGUCGGUGACAAUGCUUAUUGUCUUGCCAUAUGGUUCACCAAACCAUCCUACGACGGCAAACAUACGGUUGUUUGGAUGGCAAACCGAAACCAACCAGUUAAUGGGAAUUUCUCAAAGCUUUCCCUGCUAAAAAAUGGUGAACUUAUCUUAACAGAUGCCGGGCGGUUCAUAGUUUGGACCACAAAGGCGGUUGGGGUUUCUCCGGUGCGAUUACAUCUCUUCAACACUGGUAACCUUGUGUUGCGUACCUCGGAUGGUGUUAUUCAAUGGCAAAGUUUCGAUUCACCAACAGAUACCCUUCUCCCUCACCAGCCACUCACCAGAAAUACGAGACUUGUCUCUUCAAGAACCAAAACCAACUUUUUCUCAGGGUUUUAUAAGCUCUAUUUUGACAACAGUAACGUCCUCAGUCUUGUGUUCGAUGGGCCAAACGUUUCAAGCGUUUACUGGCCCCCAUCGUGGCUUGUAAGCUGGCAGGCGGGCAGAUCGGCAUACAAUAGCAGCAGAAUUGCAUUACUAGAUUACUUUGGCUAUUUUUCUUCAUCCGACGGUUUUAAGCUUCAGUCCUCGGAUUUUGGUGAGAGAGUCCGGCGAAGAUUGACCCUGGAUAUUGAUGGCAACUUACGAUUAUACAGUUUUGAGGAAGAGAGAAAUAAGUGGGUUGUUACUGGGGAAGCCAUCACGGAACAAUGCAAAGUUCAUGGAAUAUGCGGACCCAACAGUGUUUGUACCUAUGUGCCCGGUUCUGGGAGUGGAAGGAGAUGCUCUUGCAUACCUGGAUAUGAGGUGAAAAAUCGCACUGACCGAACUUAUGGAUGCAUACAAAAAUUCAAUCUUUCUUGCAACUCACAGAAGGUUGGUUUCCUCCUACUCCCACACGUGGAGUUCUACGGCUAUGAUUAUGACUGUUACCCCAAUUACACCUUACAGAUGUGUAAAAAACUGUGCUUGGAAAAAUGCGGUUGCAUAGGAUUUCAAUACAAGUACGAUCAUAUAUGUUAUCCUAAGCGGAUGUUACUCAACGGAUACCGCUCACCUAGUUUUGAAGGACAUAUAUAUCUAAAAUUGCCCAAAGCUAGUCUCCUUUCCUAUGACAAACCCGUUGAGGAAUUCAUGUUAGAUUGCUCGGAAAACCGCACAGAGCAGCUAGUAAGAACCUAUUCAAAAGCCCAUGAAAAUGGAGUGUUAAAGUCCAUCCUCUGGUUUGUCUGUGCAAUUGGAGGAGUUGAGAUGAUUUGCAUCUGUGUGGUGUGUUGUUUCUUGAUGAUGAAGGCCCAGCAAAACACCAAUACAGAUCCGCCAGGCUACAUUUUAGCCGCCACGGGAUUCAGAAAAUUCACCUAUACUGAGCUGAAGAAAGCAACACGGGGUUUCAGUGAGGAGAUUGGAAGAGGAGGAGGUGGGAUUGUAUAUAAAGGUGUCUUGUCAGACCACCGAGUAGCAGCCAUCAAGCAGCUCAAUGGAGCUAACCAAGGAGAAGCUGAAUUUUUGGCAGAAGCAAGCACCAUUGGGAGGCUUAACCACAUGAACUUGAUAGAGAUGUGGGGUUAUUGCUUUGAGGGGAAGCACAGGCUCUUGGUUUAUGAAUACAUGGAGCAUGGAUCACUAGCACAAAACCUCACUUCCAAUACACUUGAUUGGCAGAAGAGGUUCAAUAUUGCGGUGGGCACAGCAAAAGGUCUGGCUUAUUUACACGAAGAGUGCUUGGAGUGGGUUCUACACUGCGAUGUGAAGCCUCAAAACAUACUCCUAGACUCUAAUUAUCAGCCAAAGGUGGCAGACUUCGGCCUGUCAAAGUUACAGAACAGAGGAGGAAUCAACAAUUCAAGAUUGUCGAGGAUCAGAGGAACGAGAGGUUACAUGGCUCCAGAGUGGGUUUUGAACCUCCCCAUCACGUCCAAAGUAGACGUUUAUAGCUAUGGUAUUGUGGUUCUGGAGAUGAUUACCGGUCUAAGAAGUGUUGCAAAUGCCAUCCACGGUACAGAUGGCAUAGGGGAACGUCAGAGUUUGGUGGCAUGGGUGAAAGGGAAGAUGAAUAGUGCAACUGCAGUUGCUUCGUGGAUUGAAGAAAUCCUAGACCCGUCGAUGGAAAGCAAAUAUGACAUGGGUGAGAUGGAAAUUCUAGUAUCAGUGGCUCUGCAAUGUGUGGAAUUGGAUAAAGAUGAAAGACCCACCAUGAGUCAGGUGGUCGAGCUGCUUCUCCGCCGUGGAUGUUGAUACAAUUAUCACUACUGAUAAAUUAAUACCUCCUAUGGGGCCAGCCAAGUAUGGCAGCUUUCUGAACCUAUUCCGCCCAUUUAUGAUAUUCGUAAAAAAAACAUUGUUAUUUUUGCUACCCUCCUCAAUAAAGAUUCUACUAAUAAAUAUUAUAUAGAAUUUUAUUCCCAAUAUCUCUCUUUGGUGCUCUUAUCUUAUUUUAUAAAAUCAUUUUUAAAAUUUGUUGAAUUUGAUAUAUUUUACCCUCACAUAAUUUGUAGCAGGAAAAGUUUCUCUCUUCAUCAUACAACAAAUUCUUUUCUAUGUAGUAUACAUAUAUGAAAGCUAUAAAUGGCUUUAGCUUUAAUUGAAAUCAUAUAAUUUCUCAUUGAAUCUAAUCUAACGUGACUUUAAAAAUUUUCAAAAUAUAAAUCAAUUCCUCCUGCUUAAACAUAACACUAUAAUUGCAUCUGUGCCUUGGUGCUUUCUGUGUUAGUGAAUGAAUUAGUUUAAAUAUUGACUUUUUAGACAACAAUUUUAAAGAGCUCAUGCGUCACACUAUCAAUUCAACCUUCUUUGAUAUUUAUUUAUUUAUUUAUUUUAAUUACCUUUCGAUGGUAUCAUUGCUUGGAAAAUUUUGAUGAACGUGAAAGGGAAAUGGAAAAUCGUGGGGCACACGUCCAUUAUGGAGUCAAAAUCUUUGAAAGAUGUAAAAUUGUCGUGCAAUUCAAUCUAAUGUAGAUGGACAAAAAUGCCAUUUUAUUGAUCAAGCAUAGAUGAAUGUGGAAAUGACGCAACGCAUCAAAUCAGACUUGGCGGAUGACAUGUAAAAUGCAAAAUUAAAUAAUGAUUGAAAAUCAAAUGAAUGAGCCACCCAGCAAAUGUCUAGUUUCAAGUCUUUCAUUUUUUUUUUCAACUUAAGACCUCUUUUUGGAAAUUUAUUAUUAAAAAUAUUUUAAUCUCUAAUUUUUCAUAAGUUUCUUUUCAUAAACAUGUUGACUGGCUUCAGGGAAAUAAACAAAAAUAUAUUUUUAAAUUAUUUAAUCUAACUUUAAAAAGAUAAGUAAAAUUUUAUUAAAAUAAUUUAUUAAUUUUAAAUUUAUAUUUUAUUUUCAUUCAUUUGACAUACCUUCAAUAAUUAGUAUAAAAUUAAUAUAAAUGUUUUAUAUAAUCCGUUUACAUGCAUGGUAUAUUAUGUACAAACAGGAACAAAAUGAAUGAGGCACUGUAUGUGACAAAUAAAUACAUUUUUAUAAAAUUUAAAUUUAAUUUUAUAGUAUAUGACAUGGAUUCUGGCGUCAUCUUCCACAUCACUGAACUUCAUCUUCACCUAUUUUCAUCAUUCUAUGUUUCCAACGCUUCCCACUAUGAACGUCUCUAGAAAAAACUGCCCGAUGUGGCUCUCCUCUUGGCUCUACCACAGUUAAGAUUUUCGGCUUGAUGUCGUGUACCUGCAAUUUACACGAUGUGUUCUCAUUCGAUGGCGAAUUCACUUUAAAUUUAUUCGAUAAAAAUAUGGUUUUUAGAUUAAACUGUUUAUUUUUUAUUUUUUUUAAGGGAAAACAAGAUAAGAAAUAAAAUCUUAAGUGUGACUCUUUAUUUGGGAAAGACGGUCUGUGGAAAACUAAAAUCAAGUUUGAGGGUCAGGUUAUUUAUUGGAAAGGUAUGAUAAAAGACUGUAACACUCCUCUAAAUCCCUAAAAACGGGUCUCUAUUAAAUAAGGUGAAACAAGUGUUACAAUUGAUAAGGAAAUUAAUAGAUACCAAUAAAAUGAUCAAAUAAUAAAACGAAUCAUAAAUAAGAAUAAGCAAAGUGAGAGUGAGAUCAUACCUUAGCAGCAAGUAAUAAUGCGUUAUCAUGAAAACAAUAUUAGUUCAAGUAUAAAAUUAUCACAUGCAUAUUAAAGAGUAAAACAAAGAUCAAGUAAUAUUCAUUAAACAUAACAAUUAACAAUCAAAAGAGAAAACUCAUAUAUAGGGCCCUACCAAAGUCCAAUUGAUUUUGCAUGAAUAAAUCCAACAAAUUUCAUUAUUUUAGAAUUAUAAAAAUCAUAUUCAUACUUAUUUAAAAUCAAGAAAAUCGAAAAAUUAUUUAAAGAUCAAAAAAAAUUUGUGAAAGUACUUACCUGAAGGGAAAUGUAACAAGUUUAUUAAAAACGAGAUUUUUGGAAAUUAUUUGAAAAUUGAAAUCUUAAAAAUUAAAUUUAAAAAUUGAAAUUUAAAAAAAAAAAAUUGAAAAUUGGAGUUUUGAAAAUUGGAAUUUUGAAAAAUUAUUUGAAAAUGAGAGUUUUGAAAAUUGGAAAUUUGGAAGAGUAUUUGAAAAUGGGAAUUUUGGAAAGUGAUUUGAAAAUGGGAAUUUUGAAAAAUGAUUUGAAAAUGGAAGUUUUGAAAAUUGGAAUUUUGAAGAACUAUUUGACAAUGAAAUUUUUAAAAAUUAUUCGAGAAUGGAAGUUUUGAGAAUUGAAGUUUUGAAAAUUAGAAUUUUGAAAAUUAUUUAAGAAUUAGAGUUUUGAAAAUUAUUUGAAAUUUGAAAAUUUGAAAAUUAAAUUUAGAAAUUGAAGUUUUGAAAAUUAAAUUUGAAAAUUGAAGUUUUGAAUAUUGGAAUUUUGAAAAUUAAAUUUAGAAAUUAGAGUUUUGAAAAUUGGAGUUUUGAAAUUUAUUUUAAAAUUAUUUGAGAAUUGAAGUUUUGAAAAUUAUUUGAAAAUUAAAUUUGAAAAUUGGAAUUUUGGAAAAUUAUUUGAUGAUUGAAGUUUUAAAAAUUAAAUCUGGAAAUUGAAAUUUUGGAAAAUUAUUCGAGAAUAAAAGUUUUGAGAAUGAGAUUUCUUAAAAAUUAAAUUUGAAAAUUAGAAUUUUAAAAAAUUAUUUGAGAAUUGAAUUUUUAAAAAUUAAAAUAAAUUUUGAAGGUCGGAACAAAUCAUCUCAUUGACCUUAUCCCCGUUCUUGUAAAUCUUGAAGGUUGGAACACUUUUUAUGCUCUCAGUUUUUGCUACUGUUGGGCUCUCCUCCACAUCCAUCUUGAGAAAUUUUAUGGAUUGGUAUUGAACACAGAGCUUAUCCAUGAUGGGGGAGACCUGUUCACACUGGUAAUUGGAUGCCACUUUGAAGUGAACCACCGAAACACCAGGUGAAGAUAUUGCAGUUUUAAACUGGUCGACACCAGAAACCUCCUCCACUUCACCACCAAACUUCACACUAUGAGUUUCAUCCUCCCAUGAUUUUGACAAUGCAGCUUGUGCCUGUGAUAGAGAUUCAACAACCUCGACGUCUCCAGGAAGUUCCCUUCUCAAGACCUCAUAAUCUUUUACUACAUCUGCCCAUCGUCCAAGCUUCCCAUUUGAGACAGCUCUAUGAAGAAGAGCCUUGGUGUAAUUUGGUUGGAUCUUGAGGGCAUGGUUGCAUUCCUCAAUAGAUUUUUCCCAUAAACCAAGUUUAGACCAGCAAACUACUCUAUUGCAAUAUAGAACAGAGUUCGAUGUAUCAUACUUGAGGCCUUCCCCGUAAGCUAAGCAGGCUUCUGAAAAUCUUCCAGAACUAAAGAGUUCAUUGCCAUGGGCCUGCGCUCUUGCCACCAGUUUAACAUUGUUCAGCAAUUUUGCAACUUCAACAUUACUAUAAUCAAUCAACCCCGUCUUCUCUGCUGCCGCAACUUCCCAGUGCCAUCUCAACCUGAGCUCGAACAUAGAGAACAUAGGCUUCAGCAAUCACAUCGAAGAACUUGGUUGAGCGAGAAGGAGAAUAAUGUUCAAAUUUUGGAAUGCUUGAUAGGUAGGAAUCUGCAUCUUCAAUUUGGUGGAGCUUCAACAGGGCCUCUACUCUCCAUGAAAUGAGUUGAGGAUAAGAAUCUGCCCCGCCUGCAUUGGCUCAUCACAUUCCCUUAGUGUACUUUUCCAAUCACCAAUUUUCCAUGCAUCAGCACAUCGGUUCAAAUACUUCUCCAAAGAAAGCAACUUCUGAAGCUCAGAUGGAUCUGGCGGCUGCGCGCCCAGGUAAAAAGAGAUGGCGUCGGGCAAAAUCAACAUGCCCUAACCUGAAAGUGCUCCUCCAAUCUUCCAAAGACCGGUAAACUUCCUUCAUCCUUGCUACCCAUGACUCGCCUCCUGCAACUUCUCUAUCUAAUGCUCAGAUCAUUAUCAUUUGAAGCUCUCUCGUUCCAGUCAUCUCUCUUGCUCUGUUUUUCUGUUUUUCUCCCAAUCCCAAAAAGUCUCUUUCGUUCCUCCUCCUGGUACUCUGUUUCUUUUCGCUUUAAAUCAUCCCCUGUCUCAGUCCAGCUUUUCUUCUCCUAUCAGCUUCCCACCCGUUCCAUUGCUCCUGGUUCAGCAAAGAUGUCACCACCCUCAACCACCACCAUGGCAAGUUGGUAGUCCUUGCCACACGUCCCAGCAUGCAGCUCACCUGGAAAGCCAUCCCCCACUCUAAAUGAAAUGUUCAGCUCUUCUCGGGUGGCCAGCAGGUGGUGAGAAAAAAAAACUUUGGUCCAGAGAGGGGUCUACAGAUGCCUUCGAUCUAUUUCAGGUGGUCGGCUUUGGAGCAUGGAUGGCUGCAGAUCUGCCAAGUUGUUGGCCAUGAAUCUCCUGAAUCCACUUAUUGCUAACCGCUUGUAUUAUUCAACAGUUGAAGGCUGAUUUCAUUGAGUUGAAAGGCCAAUGGGCCAUGGGGAGCAAUGCUUGCUUCACCCAAUUUUUAAAAAUUCAUUUUUAGUAAUACAAAAAAAUUUAUUGUAUGAAGUAUUGAUGUUAUUAUUAUCUUUUUAUAUUGAUUUUAUUUUUUAUAUUUUUUUUCCUUAGGAUUUUCUUUCUUUUCACUUUUUCUCCCUCUUUUCUUUUAUUUAUAUUUUCUCAUAAUCAAAUAUCGACUUAGAAUUUAAUUGCAAACAAAGUGUUAUGUAAACAAUUAAUAUGGUCUUGCUAUUUUGCUUUUAUGGCCAUUAAAUUUAAGGACUUUGUGUGAUGGCAAUAGGGUGAUUUUUUUAAGGUACCUGUCCACCCUGGGCUUAAAAUUUAAAUAAAUAGGUUUGGAGCAGGUUUGAGUUUUUUUAAACUCAAGACGAGUUUGGAUAUUGUCCCACCCCAAUCAUAUACAAAAUUAAUUUAAUUUUUUAUUUUUCCAUUUUUAAUAAUAAUAAUAAUAAAAUACUUUUUAAUAAAAUAAGUUAUAAAAAAUUAUAAUACUUUAAUUAUGUAUAUAAUAUAUAUAUAUUUAUAUAAUUAAAUAAUUUAAAAAAAUUAAAAAAAAAAGUUUAAACAAAGCGGGAUAAGACAAGUAUGAGAAUUUCUCAUACCUAUCAUACCCUGCCUAUCACAUUUAAUUUUUUUAAUAGAACAAGGUUACAACAUGGGCUACCUAUUCUAAACCUGUCUCAUUAUCAUCCCUACAUGUGUUUGCAUGUAUAUAUGAUACAAGUGGAAAGUUUGAACUAUGAUAUUGAAAAUUCAAUUCACCAUUUAUUUUGUAAUUAUACAUCCAAAUAUAAGCAUGGAAAGGGGCGAAUUGACAUAAUAGAAGGCCUAACUGCUCAUGUUUUGUAUUUAUUUAAAUUAAUAUUUAUUAAUCAUUUAUUUAUGUAAUAAAAAAUUUGUAAUUCAAAAUUUGAUUUUACUAAGUGAAGUACCUGAUGACCAGAACUGGAGCAACCUAAAGAAAGAGAAGAACAAAAAAUACACCACGACAUAUCCCAAAAGCCUAAUGGCCCAUCCCCUAAAAAUACUAGCUUUAUAAUUAUUAUCGUAAAAGAAAGAGAUGAACAAGUGAUUUUUCGUCAUAUAAUGUUAAAAAAUUAAAGUAUUAAUUUUUUUUUUCUACUGAAAAUAAUUUAAUUUCAUAUUUCUAAUUGUUUUUUUUUUACUUUAUGUCACUUAUUAUUUAUUUUUAAAAUAUUUUUACUAAAUUUAAAAAAUAAAAAAAAAUUAAAUAUUAAAAUUAAUCUAUUGAUUUUUCUUUACUUAAUAAAAAUAAAAUAUUUAAAAAAUAAAUAAUUUAAUAAUUAAUAUUAUUAAACACUAUUUAAUUUUAAGUUAAAUUUGGAUUUAAGUCUAAAAAAAAUACCACUUAAAUGUCUUCAUUGCAACGAUGGACAUUAUUAACUCUACUUUUUUAUAAAAUCUUUUAUUUUAGGAAAUUUUAACUUCCAAAUGAAGUAGUUACGAGAAAAAUAACUAUUGUGGUUGAAUUUAUUUGAAAUAAAUAAACCAUAAAAAAAACACUUGAAUGGAUUAAGGACCGAUUUUUUACGCCAAGGUGGUGGUGAUAUAUUGAUUUGAGUAAGAAUUUUAUAAUUUCCCAAAAGAAAGAUAAAGAGGAAAAGCAACAUUUAUUAAAAGAUAGAUACAUUAGAAUAUCAUAUUCAAAUUUAGUAUUUUUCUUUUCUCUUCUUUAUAAAACUAAAUAAUAGAAAUCAAAUGCUUUUACCAACUUCUCAUACUGCACCGUUUCGUUUUUCACUUCAUCUAAUUUUACCUUCAAUUCAUUUUUUUCCCUAUUUUAUUUCUUGAAACAUGUAUUCACUAAAACCUCUGUACCAAUGUUUCAGGACAUGGAGAGGAAGCCAUCCUGCUCCGGCCUGUCCUCCGGGCACAUAAGCUUCUCAACUAUUUGGCUCAUCGUGGGUCUUGAGUCCCUGUCUCCCUUCACACAUUCCAAGGCAACUCCAAUCAGAAUUUCCAUCUGGCGCAUGUUGCAUUCGCCUUGCAUCACAGGGUCCAGGAUGUCUUCAAUCCACGACCCCCUGACACCAAUCCUAUUCAUUCGAUCCCUCACCCAUUUAAUCAACCCAGGCUGCUCUGUCUCUCCUUGGGCAUCAGUAUCGGGGAUAGCAGAUGGGCUCUUCCCUGUCACCAUCUCCAAAACCACGAUUCCAUAGCCAUAAACGUCUACCUUGGAGGUUAUGGGAAGGUUGAAUACCCAUUCAGGAGCCAUGUAUCCUCUGGUUCCUCUGACCCUCGAGAAACUUGAAUUGCCAAGCCCUCCUCUGUUACGCAGUUUCGACAUCCCAAAAUCUGCCACUUUUGGCUGGUAAUUAGAGUCCAAGAGUAUGUUCUGAGGCUUUACGUCACAGUGCAGAACCCACUCCAAGCAUUCUUCGUGUAAAUAAGCUAGGCCUCUGGCCGUGCCAAGCGCUAUUUGGAACCUCUUCUCCCAAUCAAGAGUAUUGGACGAUAGCUUUUGUGCCAAGGAUCCAUGUUCCAUGUACUCAUACACCAACAGCCGGUGCUUCCCCUCUAUGCAAUAUCCCCACGUCUCUAUUAAGUUCAUGUGAUUAAGCCUUCCAAUGGUGCUCACUUCUGCUAGAAAUUCUGCUUCUCCUUGAUUGGCUUCUUUGAGGCACUUGAUUGCUGCCACUCGACGAUCAAGCAAUACACCUUUAUAUACCAUUCCUCCACCUCCUCUUCCAAUCUCUUGGGUGAAACCUCGCGUGGCCUUCUUCAACUCUGCAUAACUGAAUCUUUUAAACCCGUUUGCAGCGAGGAUGUAACCUUGCAUAGUUGAGACUGGAUCAUGGUGUACCCUAAAUAGGAAAAGCCAUACCAGCAAGACAAUUGCCGUCUCUAGAACUCCCAGUCCAUAGGCAAACCAUAGCAAAAACUUCAAAAACUUCAAUGUUGUAUCUAGCUGUAUAUAACGAGUGUUGCCUGAACAAUUUAUGGUGAAUUCUUCAAGGGGAUCAUAUCUGGGAAAGAGACUAGCUUUAGGCAGUUUUAGAUACAAGGUUUCAGGAUAAUUUGGCGAACUGAAUCCAUUAAGCAAGAGGGCCACUGGGUAACAAUUGUAAACGCCGUCCCCAAAAUUUAGCAGGAAGGCCUUGCAUUUGCACAACUGUAAGCAUAGAUUUUCACAGCUUUCAUAGGUGUAAUUGGGGUAGUGACCAUAGUCAUAGCCGUAGAGUUGAACAUGAGGGAGUGGGAAGAAGCCCACCUCAGUUUGGUUACAAGCGAUAUCAGUUUCUGGUGCGCACCCAUAAGACCAGUCAGUUGAAUUUACAAUCUUGAAUCCAGGCAUGCAAGAGCAUCCUCUGCCAUAAGCAGGGGUGUAACUGCAGAGACUGUUGGGUCCGCAGAUGCCAUGAAUCUGGCAUGGUUGGGAGAUAGCCUGCCAUGAAACCGACCAGGUUCCUCUCGUUUCUUCUAGACUAUACAUUCUAAGAUUGCCAUCGAAAUCGAGGGUCAAUCUUCUCUGAGGCCCCGCACCAAAAUCCGCUGACCGAAAUUCCAAAUCAUCUGAUGCUCUAUAAUAACCCAAAGAAUCGAAUACUGCGAUUCGACUGUUGUUGUAUGUGCUCCUCGCAGCCUCCCAGGUCACCCGGCUUGGGUCUGGCCAGUAGAGGCUGGAAACCACAGGACCAUUGAAGAGAAGGCGGAUGACGUUAUCAAUGUCAAAAAAUAGCUUAUAAAAACCAGAAGAAUAGUUGCUUUGGCUUCUUGAUGAGAUAAGGCUGGUAUCUUUUGUCAGUAUCUGGUGAGGAAGAAGGGUAUCUGUGGGUGAGUCAAAGCUCUGCCAAAUCACCGUCUUCUCCCAAGCAUAUAGAACAAGAUUGCCGGUGUUAAGGAGCUGUAAUCUCACAUACGAGGUUGAAACGGUGUUGGUCAUCCAAACCAUGAUUUUGCCAGCAUCAGUUAAGAGGAGAUUGCCAUUCCUCAACAAAGAAAGCUUGGAGCCUCUACCGUUGACCGGUUGGUCACGGUUCGCCAUCCAAACUGUGGUUGCACCCCAUGAUUUUGUGAACCAUAUGGCGAAGCAGAAAGUGUUGUAACUGUUGUUGCCGACCUGAUAAAACCCAGCAGAGAAUAUACCAUUUGCUGAAAUGAGAACAUCAUUUGAUUUCUCCACGGAAAGAGAUGAGCCUUCGCUCAGAGUAUCAUACGUUUCAGAUGAAGAUGGAUAGAAAGUUAAUAGCAAAGCCAAAACAAAGAAACCAACUGUCCUAUCCAUGAGUUUUGGGAUAUGGUUUAUGUGCUCUGUUUCCUGAUCAGAUAUUUGCAAUGGAGAAUGCAAGUGUAUGGUGCUACCAGAGUUUAGAAAAUAAAUGUUUACAUCAUGACUCCUUGACUGGGUGAACGGGGAAAAUUUACAUUGCCCCUCGGGCCAAGUUUUGCUUGCGCCAUCGUGUUUGGUUUCUAAAAACAUUUCAUGUCAAUGUCAAAGACUCAAAAUAAUGGGAUGAAGACCCGGGACUCUUUGACUGGCCUGGUGGCCUUCACGAGUUUUAUUUAGUGGUGACGUAAAACUGGGGUCUGGUCUGAUGUUGAUUGGCCCAAGCAGGGAAAGAUCAAAUGGGAAACGACUUGUGGGCUGACUUUCCAUGCACCAAGGAACACUUCAUAGAAAUUAAUCGAGCCAUUGAAUUUCAUAAGUUCCCUCUUUGCAGAAUUUUGAAUAUUUAAAAAGAAUCUUAAUUUUUAAAACCUAAAUUUAUGGUUAAUUUUUAAAUGCUUAAUUAAUGCGAUUCAAGGUGUAAAACAUUUUCUUUUAUUGAAUCAAGAUUUAAUUUAAAAUAAAAUUGUUGGUAUUGCUCCCUCUUUUUUCUCUUUUUCUUAUUCAAUCUCUAUUUAUAGUUUCACAAUAGUAGUUUUCUUGCCACCUUUGUGGGUCAAGAGGAACAAAUGCUAAGAAUUGUAUUCAUCUGCUUUCUUGCAACACUCACUAAAUGUAAUAUUGUAAUAAGAUAUGGAACCUGAUUUUGAUUAUGUUGGUAUAAUUAUUGAUACAGUUGAUGUCUCAAAGUCAUUUUGGCAAGGACUUUCAGGGUAUGGUCGAAUCAAGCUUGUAUAACUAUUAAUUAUUAAUAUGGUUAAAAGAUUUCUUCGACAUUUUGGUGCUCAUAUAAUUAAUAUUAUUACAGCUGAGUCCUCCAAAAUCCCAUUUUUCUAAUUUUGACUUUUCAAGGUAUGAUAAGCAAAAUUUAAAAGGUUGUGACUCUUUAACAUUCCCUUUUGCCACAUGGUGCUUUAAGGUUGCUUUCUAUCAUUUCUCCAAUGGCUACUCAUGGGGAGCGGACAUUAAAACCUGUGAAUCGAUGACAACAAUUUUUCUUCUUUAGAGUCUCUUGUUUUUCCCUUUGCAAUAGUAUUUUUCUACUUAAGAGGCAACAUCGCUAAUUGGAGUAUAGUUAUUUACUCUAUGCCUUAUUAGGAUCUUGAUUUUAGGAUUUUUCGAACCUUGAUUUUAGAAUCCUUGAUUUUAGGAAUCUUUUUUUUUUCUCUUCACCGUUUUUCUCUUAUUUUGCAUCUUUCUUUUUUUGAAUGGUAACUUCUUGUAUAUAUAUGCAUGUAGAACAACAGAAUAAAUAUGCAAAAAUUUUGUCAUUCCAAGUCUAAAGUUUUCAUGGUAUCAAAACGCACUUGUUCUUACAUUUUUCUUGUUGACCAUCUCUGUCACUCUUACAUUUUUCUUCUUGUUCUUUGUUUGCUUUUCACCAUACAAAUGGUUCUACUAAUCACCAGAAAAUAGAUGAAAUUGUAGAUAAAAAUAAUUUAUCUCAUCUUCAUUGUUCUGACAACCCAAGAUCCAUGAUUGUACCCUAAUCUUUGACUGGUGAAAACUACUCAACCUAGAGCAAAGCUAUGCUUAUGGCCUUAAGUGCAAAGAACAAAGUAAGCUUCAUCAAUAGAUCGAUGAUGAAACCUUCUUUAAUGAAUUCAACCUAUGGUCUAUGGAAUUGCUAUAACAACAUGGUAAAAUCUUAGAUCCUUAACUUUUUACCUUAAGAUUUAGCCAAUAGUGUCAUUUACAUAACUAUAAGAGCCGAAAUUUGGUCUAAUCUCAAGGAGCCUUUUUUUAAACUCAAUGCCCCUCAUUUCUUUCAAAUUGAGAGAGAUAUUAUCUCUUUAAGACAAUAACAUUGUUUUGUUGUUACCUAUUAACUGAAAGCUUUAUGGGAUAAACUUACAAAUUUGCUAUUUUUUCCCACAUGUACGUGUUCAACAAAAAAAAAAAGUGUUGGCAGAUUAUUAAUAGCAACAUCAUCUUAUUUAGUUCUUAAUGAGUAUGAAUGAAUUAUAUUUGUUAUACAUGGACAAAUUCUACUUAUAGACCCUCUUCAUAAUUGAAACAACUAUAUUAUCUCAUUUUACAAAAAAAAAAAAAAAAAAAGGGUCAAGGAAUGUGGUUGUGAUAGGACAACCAAGCAUUGAAACCAUGCCUUAGUAGCACAACAAUUAUAUCAUAUGGCAAAGAAACCAAAUAAUAAGGAUCCUAAGUCACAAAAGGAGUGACAUUUUUGCUCCCAUUGUGGUUAGGUUGGACACACAAUUGACUGAUGUUAUAAGUUUCAUGGAUACCUUCUCAAACAUCAUAUUCACAAAGAGACUUCUCAACCUAUUGCAAAUCAAAUAAGUCAACAAUCAUUUUCCAUAAGCAACACUUCUAUUACCUCUCCUUUCAUUAUAGAACAAUUCCAACAACUCUUUGCUCUUCUCAAGCCUCAAGUCAUGACAAAUCAAGUAGGUAGUGGCUCUUCCACUACUCAACUCUCAAGUAUUUGUUUAAACUCUUCUUUUCAUAACACUUCUUAGAUAUUAAAUAGUAGUGCAACAAAUCACAUUAUGAGUUUUAUUACCCUUUUUUCUUCCAUAACAUCCACUACUUUUGCUACUAUUAAGCUUCCUGAUAGUAGUCUUACAUCCAUAACCCAUAUUGGUAUUGUUUCAUUAUCUUCAUCUCUCACUCUUCAUAAUGUUCUUUAUGUGUCUUUAUUUCUUUUUAAUCUUAUUUCAAUUAGCAAGCUCACUCAUUCUUUAAAUUGUUUUCUCACUUUCCAUUUUAAUUCAUGUCUUAUCUAGGACUUUACCUCAAGAAAGAUGAUUAACAAGGGUGAAAAAUGCAAUAGAUUAUACUAUUUUGUUUUUUAAUCAUUAUGAUAUUUGCCCACUUGCUAAGCAAACACACUUGCCCUUUCCUAGUAGUUUUAUCAAUACCUAUGCAAUAUUUAAUAUUAUUUAUUGUGACAUUUGGGGCCCCUCAUCAUACAGAGUUUAUUUAGAGUGCAAGAUUUUUUGUAACCAUUGUUGAUUAUUACAAACAUGUGACUUUAGUCUAUAUAAUGUCCCAUAAAUCUAAAACACAUCAUCUUUUACAAUAUUUCAUCAAGCUUGUCACCAAUCAAUUUGAUCAAAAGGUUAAGAAAGUUUGAUCUAAUAACGGGAAAGAAUUUGCUAUGACUAGUUUGUUUCAAGAGAAUGACAUUUUUCAUCAAACUAGUUAUAUGGAUACUCCCUAACAAAAUGGGGUUAUUGAACAUAAACAUCACCAUCUUCUUAAUGUUGCUCAUACUUUACAUUUUCAAGCACACCUUUCUAUCCAAUUUUGGGGUGAUUGUAUCCUGAUUACUACAUAUUUGAUUGAUAAAACCUGAUCAUCACUUCAAUUCGCCCAUACUCUCUAUGUAAAGCUUUUUUUCUAGAAAACCCUCAUAUCCACAUUGAGUUUUUGGCUACCUUUGUUAUGCUUCUACUCAUGUUUUAAAGAAAACAAAAUCUAAUUCACGUGUCAAAUGUUGUGUAUUUAUCAAGUAUCCUUAUGGUAACAAGGGUUGUAAAUUUUAUGACCUCAAUAAUCACACAACCUUUGUUUCACAUGAUGUAAUUUUUCAUGAAAAUAAUUUUUUCGUUUUCUCAUGUGUCUUCUACUCCUCUUCCACAUUUAGUUCUUUCUUUGCCACCACCAGAAUAUUAUUGAUUUUUCUUCCUCAAAUGUGUCACCACCAUCUAAUCCUCCCUCGUCACCUAUGUGUCUCAUAUUUUGUAUUUUUCCUUUUUUUUAUAUGGUAAUUUCUUCUUAUAUAUAUAUAUACACACAUGUAGAACAAUAUAAUAAAUAUACAAAAAAAUUUCCAUUGCAAAUCUAAAGUUUUUAUUACUUUUUUGCUUAGUCUUGAAAGUUUUAUUGUUUAAGGUUUUAUGAACAAGUUGCCUUUAGAUCCUUUUUUUCUCCUAUUUUUUGCUUUAUUUUAUCAUUUAUUGUAUUAUUGUUUGUUUUUUUGUUUUUGGUUUUGUAUUUUUUUUUUCUCUUGAUUGGGAGAUGUGGGAGGCUUUUUAUUAUCUUUCUGUUUGUUCUCUAUGUUUAGUUUUUUCUUAGGAAAACAAGUUAUUAAGCACUUGGGAAUUCUCAUAUCCUUGAAUGUGUUUUUUUUUUCUUUCUAGCAUGCCUUCAUGCAACCUAUAACUUGAUUUUCUUUGUUUAGGUUAGAGUCAUCCUAUUAUUGCUUGUGCUCAUUUGUACCUUAAGCUUAAAUCUGACUCUUAUGAAUUUGUCGUAUAUAUUCUAUUGAAAGUAUGUCUCUUUGGUUGAUCUCAAAGUGGAAGUCUCUUCAAACUCAACAUGAUCAAAAGGAGAGGCUAUGGCUCUACUCAAUGGGUAGAACAAGUCAUUUACCAGGAAAAGUAGUUUGAGUGGAGAGGAUUUGAAAUGUGGAUUAACCUUGCUUGAGAGCUUGAGAGCUUGAGAUGCAAGAGCCGGAUUUUUGUCAAAUUUUUCACAUUCCUCAGGAUAUCGAGCUUAAGCUUAUUGAGGAUAUGAAUGAAGCAUUAGACACUACUCACCUUGGACCCAAAUCUAAUUCAACAUAUGUUGUUAGAAAGCAUUUUAAUAUGGGCCUAUGGCCACCUCUUCCAUUGUUGGUUUAUCAAUUUUUAUAUUAUUUCCAAAUAAACCAAAUUCAUGUUUAUGCCGAUGUAAUUCAAAUUUUGAGGGGUGCAUUCCUUCUUGAUUAUUUGUAGGGGUUUGACAUUGGAUUAGAGGAUCGAUAUCCUCUUCACGUACAUCAUCAAACUUGAUUCUCAUAAGAAAUUUUUUUUCUAUCCUUGGAUCUCAUUUUCUUCGACUUGUAAUUGGUAUCCCUCAUACAAGCAAAGGGAUAAUAGGCACCAAUGUUAUUAUAUGUAGCUUAUGGGUAGGGACAUCAAUGGAGUGGGUUAGAGUUGGGUUACCCAUUUCCUACUCCAACUUGAUUAUUUACAUUUAUUCUCAUUUUGAAACCGAGCAUGGCAAGUAUUAAAAUUUUUCAUACUCUUCCCAUUCAAUUUAUUUUUUAUUAUUUUUAAUUUUUAAUUUUAUUAAAAAAAAUUAAUUAGACCAAAAAUAAAAUUAAUUUAUAAAUAAAUAAAAUUAUAAAUUUUUAUAAUUUAUUUUUUUGAGAUGUAGAUUUUUAUUUUAUACAUAUUAAAAUGAAGAAAAUGAAAAAAUAAUAAUUAAAUUUUCGUAUAUAUAUAAAAUUGGGGCAGGUGAGGUGGAAUAAGGAAAUACACAAACCUACCUCGAACUUGACUAGAAUUUAAAAAACAUUCUCUAAUCUGCCCUUAACCCAAAUGGCGCAAAUUGCGGUAUUACUCGGUGAUGGUUUCAUGAUCAGGAUGAUAUUCAGAAUAACACGUUUUGUAUUUCUAACUUCCAUCACCCCGCAUUUGUUAUGGCACUUGCAGCCACCCAAGGUUUGUAUUUCUAGCAAAAUCUGAGUAGAAGAUGUAUAAAUGGAUGAUCUCCGUAGGACUUCCUCUCUGAGUUGGUUCAUCUUCUAUAUGAUGGGCGUUGCCACCCUUCCCUAAUCCCGCUUCCUCUAACUAGUUUGUUGGCUGUUUUGACUCAAACCACGACUAGAUUUACAUAUUUCUUGAUCCACUUGAGACAAUGUCAUAAUGUGCUGCGCAGUGGCCGAAGAUCAUCUUCCAACAUGGAUUGCUGAUUAGCUCUUUCAAAUAACUUAUCUACUGUUUAAGGUAAUUUUAAUAAAAUAAGAGUUCGAGAAAAUAGUGUUUGGUAAGAUGGCUUCCUUAAGAGCUUUACAUGAUUGUGCCUCAUGCUGAUGCUAUCAAGUUGUAGUCUGAAUGUGUCAUGAAAUCCCGGGUCAUCUUAACAUUAAAAACGGUUGGCUACACAUUGUGAGUUUCAGGGCAAAAUAGUCCUUUGCUGUAAAAUAAUAUAAGUUUUAACCCCAUCGUAAAACUUAUGUUAAGUGAGAUUUCGGUUUUUUUUCUUUUUAAAUUUAAAAUUUAAUUAAAAAUAUAAAAUUAUAAAUUAUUGUUAAAAUUAAAACAUAUAAUUUAAUAAUAAAAAAUUUAUAUAUUUAAACUUAAUGAUUUAAUAUUAUUUCAAUAAAGAUAAAUUGAUAAAUUAACAAUCUUAAAAUAAUAAAGUUUUAUAAUAUAUAAAUAAGAUAUAAAAUUAUAUAAUUUAUUAAUUUAAGAUGUUUAAUUUGUUGUAUUUUUAAGAUAUUAAUUUAUUUGUAUUUUAAAAUAUUUAUCUUUAUUGAAAUAAUAGUAUUAUUUUAAAUUUCCAUAUAUAGAUUUUUCAUUAUUUUAAAACAUAUGUUUAUAAUUUUAUGUAAAAAAAAUACCUUGAAGAUACAUUUCAAAAUUAGUUAAUAAAAUUGAUUAAAAAAAGUCUACUACAAAAUCUAACUUUUAAUAGUUUCAUCAAAGUUACAAAAAAAAUACCUAUUAAACAUUUAUAUAGUAAAAAAAAAAAACGUCUCUCCCUAAUUGUAACAGGUAACACAUGCUAUAUAACUUAAAUUAAUAAAUUAUACAAUUUUAUAUCUUAAAUAUAUAAUAAAUUAUCUUUAUUGAAAUAAUAUUAGACCUUUUAAGUUUAAAUAGAAAUUUUUAUUAUUAUUAAAGUAUAUAUUUUUAACUUAUUUUUAAAGUAAAAAAAAAAAAAGUUAAAUGAAGCCCCAAUUGUUAUUCGAGACUUCAACUUAAUGUUACGAUGGUAAUAAAAGUGCUACUUUUAACAUAAGUUUUGCUGGGGGGCUAAAACUUAUAUUGAAAUGGUUAUUUUGCCCCACAACUCACACAUUGCUUCUGUCUGAGCACAGGUAGUGAUCAGUAGCAAAGGUCUCUGAUAGCUAACGAAAGUUAUAGGCGAAAUUUGUUGGUAAACAGUACUGGGACCAUGACAAUGUUAGGCACACUAGUAAAACAAGAACUGUUUGUAGGGCAAAUGAUCAUUUCCAAUUUCCGAAGUCUUGGCAAAAGUACAUCAGGUAAUAGAAAGGAUCCACAAUGCCCUCAUACAUAGUGAACUUCAACAUAAAGAAAUGUCCUGGAGAAUCAUGUUGCAAGAUGUGUUGAGGGAAUGGUGUAGCAACCAUAUUAUGGAGGACACAGAAAGCAGAGGUAGGCAAUGACUCUGUCACCGGCUUGAACUCCAUCUCAUAAUGAGAAGAUGUAUCCGCAGAAACCCGAAAUGUCAUUUCCCGAAUGCUGUGGGGGAGUCGGUUUAUCAACACAUGAAUGUCCCUGAAUUCCAACCUGAGCCACUAGUUUCCGGAUAUAAGAAAGUCAUCCUCGUUUAGAUGCUUGUAAGCUCCAUGGACAGGGCUUGCUGCAUUGGAUCCAACAUACGCACCAAGGAUUAAAAAAUCAAAUUAUUUCAACAAUCUAUCAUCUGAAAUUUUGCAUAUUGGUUGGGCCUUUCAAAAAAUUUAAGGGUAAUGUUAGGACAUAGAAUAAGUCUCCCGUGUGAAAGUAAUACAUUCUGCACCACUAGGGUAGGUUUGCCUUUGGUAAUAUAUGUAGUCUGCUUUACUUUUUAAAACAUCCAUAUAAAAAUACGAAAUAUUUAAAUAUGAUCCUUUAAUAAGUAAAUUAAUUUUAAAUAUCUUAUGUUCAAUUUUCAUUUUACAGAUUGUUCAAAAUAUAAAAAUCAUUAUAAUAAUUUUUUGAAUGAGUGUUACUUUAUAUGUUUUGUAUAAUAUAAACAUGUAAAUAAAAUUAAAAAAUAAAUUAUAAAUACAUCAUUAUUUCUUUUAUUUUAUUUAAUACAUCCAAACUAAGUAAAUCAAUAUAAAAUAUAUUUUCAAGUUCAGGAUAUUAUCACUGAAUAAUACAAAUUAUGUCAUAUAUAUAUAUAGACAUAUAUUUGUUUUUAAUUAAAAAAAAACUUUAAUAUGUAUUAUUACUUGUUUUAUCUUUUCCUAAAAUUUUUUCCAAUAUUUUUAUCAGUUUUUAUCAAUAAUCUAAGAAAUAAGUCAAAUGGGCCAUUUCAUCUGCAUAGCCCCAAAUAAAUCGAAUUUAUUUCUUAAAAAUUGAUUUUCAUAUAUUUAUUUUUAGUUUUUAAUUUUUUUUUUUCAAGAUUUAAGUUUUAUUUUGUGAUUUUCCUUCUGACAGGUUUGCCUAUCAUAUUUUUCCUUUCAUUGGUCCAAUAAUAAAGGGAAGGGGGAAGGGCAACAAAAUUCUUGGUGAAUGGUUCGAAAAUUAAAAAAUAAAAAAUGCCAAAAUUCAAGGUUGCCAGCAGCUUAACAAAGCAGGCAUGACAUGGAGUUGUAGGCUGUGGAUGCCAAUUUUUAACAUUUUGCAGCAUCUUCUACACUGAUAAUUGAGCAAGCUGUGUUGCAGAGCCGACCUUUGGGCUCCAUGGAUGCCGAUCCAGCCCAACCUCGCAUCCACCUUGAGUGUCUAUUCAUCAAAUGGCCCAGUUUAUAAAUAAAAGUCUUUACUCUAAUUUAAUAUAAUUUUUAGUUAAAAAAUAUUAAGUCACUAAAUUAAUUUAUCAAACAUAUUUAAUAUAUUUAAUAAUUUAAAUUAAAUAAUUAAAUUGAUUCAUCAAGUACUUUCAACAUUCUUAAACUGAGCGACGAGGUGUUUGGCACCAUCACCAUUCGUAUAAUUGAUUUUAAUGCUCAUGUGGGGUUUUGUAACUCCCAAUAUCUUCAUACGCUUAUCACCUGGUGUAAUGGGUACUAUGACAUAUUCAAUGAUAUUUAGGGAGCUUAUCCUCUCUUUUCAUCAAUCUUGCAUCACCCAUCUUCCCCAAAAUUAUAUCAAUAGGUGCUUGGAAAAUACUAACAUCUCCUUAGAGAUGAUUUAUAUAUAUCGCCUAAUGGGGGUUUUUGGUUGAGGCAGAAGGGGCAAAAUGUUUAGUUAAAGAAACUCGUAGAAAGUGCAGUUUGGUAGAGAGAAUUGACUCAUCUUUUAUGGGUCCUAAUAUUUUCAGUUUUGUGAGCAUGAUUCAUUUAACCUAAACUUCAAGUUAGUUAAGGUAUCAAACAAAAUCAUGCAGAGGACCCUGCUGCUUUUUUUGUUUCUGGCUCUCAAACAAAAUUCAAGUUUGAUUUUUCUUCCCCUAAAGAUGAUACCAACAGAAACGGUUGUGUCCUUUCUGUCUGCCAAAAGUUCCAACAAUUUCUGGGAAAUUUGUUUUUCAAAAACUAGAAAACACAACAAUCAACUAAGAGAAGUCGUAAGUGAUGUCCAGCUACCCACCGAAUGACCGACCCUCCCCUUGCAUUUGCACCGUCCGCCUAAUAAGCCAUGCCCCAUCCCAACAAGUGGGGGCCACAUGCCAUCGACGGCUACAACACUGCUCCUCCCAUCACUGUAGAUACUAACCAGAUCUUUAGUUUUAGUUUUCAACAGGUUCCGCAUUUAGUUACCUGAAUUGCUGUGUUUUGGGCACAAAGAUAUAAGCAUGCUUUCCCGGGAAAAAAAGUCGUCACCGAAUUUCAUUUUUCCCCAUUUUUUCGAUUUUCUAUUGAAAAGGCGGUUGCUUCUCAGAUUCUACCACCAACCACCAUAGCUCAUUCCUCUCAUUAACAAACCCUCUAGAUUUUCUUCCUUCCCCGUCUUUUCCACUGUACACUACCAAAAUUAUUUGUAUUUAAGAAGGAAAAAAAAAAAAAAAAGGGAACAAGAUUUCAAAAAAACACAGCUUGUUUUUUAAAUAUCCCGAUUCCCUCCGAGUCGACUCAUCGCUGCAACCAUAGGUAGGUUGUUCCUUCCUCUACUCGAUUUUGCCAAUUCCGAUACGCUUCAUCACUGCGUUCCAAAUAGCUUCAGUCUGCAAACACAGACCAUUUUGCUCCAUGCCCGACAUGUAGUUCCUCACUUCCUUUCUGAUCAUUUCUUGCAUCACAGCCAAGAAUUCGGGGGUGAAGAAAGGUUUCUCCGACAUACCUAAACCCAACUCACAGUUCUGGAUGUUUCGUGGGGAUCCAGGGUUUUGUUGCAGCUGUACAGGCGGUAUCGCCGGUGAUUGGAGAAUCUGGUUUUGGAUUUUAACAUGAUCGGAUCCUGAUAAAUGAUUUGACACUUCGCAAGAAUCGGAUCCAGGGAGAGAGAGACUGAGGGAUGUUGGGGGAUCGUUCGUCGAUGAGGCGGCCUCGAUUUUCUGAGUAGGUAGAACUAUGGGACCGGUUCUCGGCACUGGUCUAUAAACAAGCGAUGAAGCCAUGCCAGGAGCACUGGAAUCACUGAAUUCGGACCCCGAAGGACUACUUGGGCUAAGAUUAUGACCCGAAACCGUUGUGCCCGCACCCACACUAGCCGAUCUCUUAAGAGGCGGUUGUGCAUGCCCAUCGGCGAUCAUGUCCUCCGUUAUAGACGAGCAUUUCCGCUUCAAAGUUGAAUUCCAGUGGUUCUUUAUGGCGUUAUCCGUGCGACCAACGAGGAGACGAGCAAUCGUCGCCCAUUUGUUCCCGAACCUCGCAUGGGCUCUAAUGAUGGUCGCGUCCUCCUCCGGCGUAAAGGCGCGGUGCUCCACCUGCGGAGAGAGCUGGUUACACCAACGCAGCCGGCAAGACUUGCCGGACCGCCCAGGGAUGGAUUUGCUGAUCAAAGACCAGUUCCUAGGGCCGUGCUUCUGCACCAGUCUCUGCAACGCUUCGUCUUCCUCGGGGCUCCAAGGACCCUUGAUCCGAUCUAAAUCUUUCUUGGAAGACGCCAUGGAUUGAGAAGCCUAAAACGCCUACACGAAUUUGAGCCCUUAACUCUUAACAAAGAGAGGAAGAAAGGAGAGAGACUGAUUUUUCCUUCUCAGCAGAGGAAGUGAAGAAAUCUGGAGGAUGAGGGGGGUUGAGGCCUCACCUUGGUAUGAGGAGAGAGCAUAGAGGAAAAGACAGUGAGGCAUAUAUAUACGAAAGGAUAAGGAUGACUGGCUGAGGCGGUUGCAGUGACCGGUCAUAGCCGUUGCGAGUGGAGGAUUCUUCCGGGCAAAGGCAGUUACUAGCAAACAGCUGUCACCGGACACGCGUCGCGCUGGCGACGAUCUACGUCUACGCAUAAUUACACACUAAAAUCUCGGUAUUUUAAAGUUCACCGACCGUUUUGGAAGUUAUGAGGGAGGUUAAAUUAGAAAUGGGGCAUUUAUAAAGGGCUUAUAGAUGAAAUUUUCAAAUUUCUGAACUGAAGUGUACGGUUGAAGUGAGUGAGGGUGAGGGAGCGGACUUUGACUGAGCCAGGCUGGAGAGCAUUUGGUGAAUGAUUUUAAAUUUUUAUGCAAUAUCAGAAAAGGACGGGAGGGAGUGGAUGAGCUGGCACUAAACGACAACGUCUAGUAGCAGAAUCAGGGGACGAACGGUACUACUCUUCUGUCACUCCAGCCUGUAAACCAGCCACUCAUAUGGCAACGCCUAACGGCCUUCUCUUUACUGCCACGUGCCGGUGGGUCACCCCUUUCUCUCCGUUUUCCUAAACCGACUCCACCGUUUUACCUGCAUCAUCUCUGUUUUCCUCCUUUCACCUUCCAAUUUAAUUCGCAUUCACAUCUUUAAUCUUUUUAAUCGCUUGCUAUUUUUAUCAAUUAUCAUAUUUUGUUUUUGCAAACUUGUGUUCAAAUUAAUUUUUAAAAUUCAAAAUACAUUAAGACUCCGGACUUACAAAUUUAGUUGAUUGUUUAUUUAAGAGAGUGGGAUAAUUUAAAUGUUCUUUUUUCUUUAAUCAUAAAAAAGUCUAAAAUAAAAGAAAAUAUAAUUAAAAUUAAUUAAAAAAUUAUAAAUUUUUAAAAAUAUAAGAAAAAUAAAUGAAAUAAGUUAUAUAUAUUUUAUUUAUUGGCUACCAUUUUCUCUCAAAUUUUUUCAACAACCAAGCAUAAUGGAAACAUUUAAUAGAUCAUUUGGCUCCACCUUAUUGCUAUAGUAAUUAAAAUUGUAAAAUUUAGAACUAGCCAUGAAAACAUUACUUUUUAAAUUAAAAUUUAAUAAAGUAGAAACGAAGUAUCAUUCUAAUAAUCUUGUAGAACUCUCAUGAUUUCUUUAUCAUAUAUGUUAAAAUUUGUUAAUUAAUUUACGUAUUUUUUUAUUGAUUUUUACUGGUAUUUUUAAAUAUAACAGAAAGGUAUUAAUUAGAAUAAGUAAGUAGGUUUUACUUGAAAGUAAUUUUUGAUACAACUAAAAAUAAAAAAAGGUGUUUAACAAAUCAAUUUAAUGAUUUAAUAUAAUUUAAUAAUUUAAUUUAAAUUAUUAAAUAAGUUAUGGAUGUGUGACAAAAUUACUUAAUAUUAUAAUUUAAAAUUGUUUUUAAUUACGGUUUAAGGCUUGUAUCCCUUUGGCCUUUUAAGGCCGUUGACUAUUCUCCAGGAGAUUACGUAUUAAUUGGCUCCUCCUUCUCAAUGUUGAACACAUCUGUCUGCCACUCACCUCUUUCUGGUUGCUAGAUUAGCCACCAUUGUUCUUGCAACAUUGCAAGCAGCUUUCCCGUGUUAGCCAUUGCAAUUUCAUUUUCUAGAUGCAAUUUCUGUCGUUUACAGCAUCCCACUCUAUUGAACCAUUGAACAUUACAGUUUUUAAGAAACAAAAUCUCUUCAUCAUUUCUUCUGGAGGAAUAUUCUUAUGUUCUAAUUUCCUUUUCCUUUAUUGUUUGUUUUGGGCUUGGUCAUUUUUAACUCUAGCCUUAAUUUUUUUAAACCUAUUUUUUCUAACACCUCAGUUGAUGAGAAGUGCAUAACAAUUUCAGUAUUUUUGGUCACACUAGAUUGUUAUGUUGAAUACCGUACUAUUUAAAUUUAGGUCCUACAUCGGUAUACGGCAUUUAAUAUAUUUUAAGACUUAGUAAAAUGGCAGGAUAAGAACAAAUAUCAAGAUCAGGUAUUUAAUGUAUUUUGAGAUACAGUAAAAGAAGCGAUAAAAAAACAAAUGUGAAGGGGAGUCAUGAGUGGUGUUUGCAGGAGGGCGUAAGUAUAAUAUGUUGGAAAUGACGGUGGAGAAUGGAGAUAGGAGAAAAGAUGAGUAGUGAGAAAAAGAAUGAAAAGAUAUAUGCGUAGAAACAGAAAAAACGGAAAAGAGGAGAGGAAAGCAACAAAAACAGAAAACAGAAAAGGAGGGUGAGUCCUUAUCUUCAACAUGCAGUCGUUUCGCCGGGACAGCUGUCUCAACUUCUCCCUUCCAUACAUGCCUAUCUCACGUGCCACGCGCUCUUCUCUCUCACCUAACUCUGUCCUUUGCUCGUACCUCCAUGUUUUGAGCAUGUCCUCACGUGACAUGACCAUCCCUUCCAUGGCUGCACCCUCUGUCCCUCGUGGCCACGCUCCUCAUGAGCCAGGGUGCCACAAGGGCUUCACCCCCACCCACCCAAUUAACGAAGUCAAAUUAUUUAAUUUUGAUUUGGUGAUUAGGCAGAAUAUUAAGUCACAUGGUGUGGAAGAGCGGAGGAUGUUUCCACAAUUGAUUAAAAUUUGCAGGUGACGAAUAAAAACAAAAGUUCCCGUUUCCAAGUUCCAAGACUCUCAAGGAAGGGCAAGGCCGACGUUGCAUUAUUAGAGUCCACAGGCGCAACACAUAAAAUAACAAGGAAUUGAAACACACAGGACCGCAAAAAGAAUGAUACGUCAUUAAAAUAAAAUAUCGGAGAUUAGGCCGCAGAAAGUAAAAGUGAGCACAGAUUCUCUCGCACCAAGUACAUUGUUCCCAUUAACAAAUGUAGGACUGGGGAUGGUACUAUAAUUGCUGUUGGGACACUGAAUCAUUGAAUGUAGCACCAUCAUAGCUGGGCAUGGUCGUCUUCGUCUUUCAUUAAUUAAAACAAAUAGGGUCGUUAAAAAUCUUAUGAAUACCUAAAAAAACUCGUUUGAAAAAUAUAUUCUCGUUCAUUCAUCGUCUUCAGAAAUUCAGGAUGAAUUAUGUAGAAAAAAGAAGAAUAGGAAGGGGCCUCCAUUGUAUUAUUGGUGUGUCACCUGUAGCGACAGCCAUGCGUGUCGUCCAAAUGAAGUGCGUGGGUGUGUAGUGGAAUGAGAAGCAGACACGUAGACACAUCAAUGGCGACCAAACAUCCGACACGGCAAGCAAAGUGAUGACUGAGUUCUGCCACGUAUGCGGAAGUGGGCCAGGAAGGAAAUUCGUCUGUUUAAGAGUGACGUGGCAGAUAUGGCAUAGGGGGGAAGGACCAUAUGGCAGAUAUGGCAUAGGGGGGAAGGACCAUAGAGAGCCGAGAAGCCGUUGUACUUUGGCAAUCAGGUGCCACGUCCACAGUUGCCAGCUAUAACCCACUUCCCGAAUCCCAAGAAAUUAAGAAGAUAAUAAUCGUCUUUUUAUUUAGCGGGGGAUGGCGAAAGGUGGGUGGUGUGGUGGGGUAAGUGACCAUGAUUUUCGCUGCAUUCAGCCAAUGGUACGAUAGGAACGUACGCUUGACGUCUGUCAUCCUGUAUUAGCGUACGGCACAUAUUAACUGUUGCUGGCCUAUACGUAAGUCGUGUCCAAAUUUGGGUUCCGCCUCGGUCUUUUCACCCACUGAAUUUCUAGUAAAGUAGAGGCUAUGGUGUACCCUCGACAUGUAGCUCUGUGUUUAAUUUGGGGGUUCAAUGGAUCAAGUCCUCAUCCUGUAACGUCACACAUACCGUCUUUUCUAGCUACCGCUGUCAUCAUUUUGAUUUCUGUACUCCUCUGUAUAUCGUAAGUUCACAACUUUAAAUCAUCGCCUUUGUCAUUGUAUUUGAAAACGCAUUGCUCACAAGUUCAUUCAAAAUUUUUAAUCCUUAGAGAAGUACACUUUAAAGCCUUUAAAAUUUCUCUCUAUAGUUGUAUACUUUUGCCAGCCAUUUAGGAGAAGGUAGAUAUCUCAGUCAUCUCCAUGGUUAGACAACCAGAUUCUCACUCUGAUAUUUUGCAACCAUAAAUGGAGAAAAUACAGCGUUGAAUGACUGUAGAUACAGGUAAAGACAUAUUCAACAUCCUUUCAGGGGUAAAAAAUUUUGAAAAAAAAGGGAAAGGUACAACAGAUUCUUUCCCCUUAUCAGAAACUUUCUUUCAUUUUGGACACCUUUUGUAGGAAAUACAAACCAACCGCACAUGCCCAUACCAGGCUUUAGAUCAAGAGCUGUUAUUGGGCACUUGCCUAUUCCUUUUACUCUUUUUGAGGACAUAUAAUUGCGCACCGUCCAAUUCAUUAGCCUAGAACUGAGUGCCCAAAAAUAUAAAAAACUCAUGAUCAAAUAGGUGGUGGUAUGCUGAACCUAACAAAUUUUCUGUUAAUGUGCCACCCAAUUCAUCACUUGUGGUUACUCGGUUGCACCCAAUUUCUCAUUAAUUUGCAAUCCACGCAUAACUCAACUGUGGUGUCCUCAACACCCCCAUUUCGUUAGAUUUGAUUCUGAAUUUUGUCUAUCAGAUUGAAUUGGUAACUAACUUUGAAAGUCAUAUGCGCAACUUGGCAUGCAAGAUCUGUCCCGAAGUAGGACCACGUACCCAUCAAGCUUUAUGGUUUUCAUAUCUAGCUAAGAAUUUUUUUAUAAUAAUAAUAAAAUAAAGGGGGGGAGUGGGGGAUGGAACAGAAGCUGAAGUAGUGGGUGGACCUCGUGCUUCUCGUGCCAUAUUUUGAAUAAAAUAUUCGUUGAACAGUUCUGGUGAUUUAAUAAUUGAAGAAUUGACCAGAGAAAAAAUGGGCAGAGACGAAAGAAGAAUGAGCUGUUGCAACUGUCCACUCGGUCUUUUAGUUAUUUAUCUGCAUCAAUCGGUUUUUUAAAAGGAAAAACAGACAUCCCUAUCCACGUAAUUAUUAUAAACAGAUAAUGAACAAGUGGAUUACAACUAACAAUGUAUUGAUGUUGGAUGUUUAUUAUAAUGAAGAUUAUUGAGUGAAUGAUUUGUGGAAGCAAACAAAAGUCCAUAGUUACGUCUGGAAUUAUAUUACAGUUGGCGAUGCCUCUUCUAGAAUUCAUUGCGUCUCGGCUAUGUAAGGCAAAUAUCAAAUGAAGGUCAUGUCAAAGCGUUGGAGUCACAUGCUUAAUGGCUACGACAUACUGGUCAAUGGGUCUGCAUCAACACCUUCAUUCAAGUUGACCCAUUUAAGAUUAGGGCAAAUUGAGCAAGUAAACGUGUUUUUAUUUCUUUAUUUAUUUAUCUUUUGACUGCUUCAAACCAAGGCACUACCCCUUCAAUUCAUUGCUCUGCCCAUUAAGUUCUAAUCUUAAAAAUCAAGCAAAUCCUAAUAUCUCUAAUUAAUUUGUCAAUUUAUCCACACACACAAAUUGAUUAAAAGAAAUCUGUACCAACUUUUGAAUAUCCUUGCUGAAGCUUAUAAUAGAACCCAUGCUGUUGUACUAAAGAGAAGAAAUACUAGUGCCACCAUAAAUCUUUCUAAAUAAGUCUUCUAAUAAUAAGUUGGACGACCCAAAAUACUCAUUACUCACUUAUUUUGAUGGAUCAUUUAAUUAUCUUAGUAGAGGAAAAAUAAUUUAAGCUCCGUUUGGUUAAUAUCUUUUAAAUUAAUUUUUUAUUUUCUUGAAAAUUUAUAUAUAUCUGACAAUAAGAUAAUAGCAAAAAAUAAAGUAUUUUUAGAAAAUAUUUUUUAAUUAAUUUUUUCUUAAUUUUGUUAUGAUUGUUUUAAAAAAUAAUUAUACAAAUAUUAAAAAAUAAAAAAUAAAACAUAACAUAUACUAAUUAUUUUUAAAAUACAUUCAAAAACAAAGAAACAAACAAAUAUUUGUUUUACAAAAUAAUAGAUAAUAAUUUUCAAAAAAGUAUUAUAAAAAAUUGUUUUUAAGAAUUAUUUUCAAAAUAGAUAUCAAAUAAGGUCUUAAACUUUGUUUUAUAACUAUUUUAAAACAAUUUUAUGUUUUUAAAAAAAAUAAAUUUCAAUUAACUAAAAAAAGGUUUUUUUGUUCUUAACAAGAAAAAAAUAUAUUCUUGAAAAAUAAUGGCAUAAAUAUAAAGAAUAAUUAAAAGUAAAUCAUUAUAUAUAAAAGUUAUUUUUAAAUAUAUUUAAAAAUAUAGAAAAUAAGUUUAAAAUAUUUUAAGUUUCAAAAUGCUUUUUAUUUUAUAAAACAUAAUGAUUUUUCAAAAAUUAUUUUUAAAAACUGUUUUAUAAAAUCAAAACAAAAUCAUAUCCUUUUUUUCGGAGAUCUCUAUCUUUUCUUUCCCAGCAGUCCCAAAAUUAUACCUAUGCUAUGCACCUGCCUUUUUAUACUACGCUUGUGCCCAAAAAUUAGUUCUAGCUAUUCCCAUCAAUGAACUGACAAAUCAACAAUAAAAAUGGCUCCAUGAGAGCCGGACAAAGUGGAGUCCACAGCAAUUGAGCUCAUUAAAAGUAGUGUGAAGUCUCUUUUGGUAGCUUUUUUUUUUUUUUUUUGAAAAAAAAAAAAUUGCCAUCUAAACAGUAAUUAAAAUGAUACCAUUUUAAUGCCGUUGGAAAAAAAUAUAAAAUAAAAGGGUAAAGUGUGAACGUAAUAAAAAGAAAUGCGUGAAGAAUAAGCAACGCGCCUCAGUUUUUGAAAUACGGGAUCCCGCUCCCCUUCUGUGGUUCCAUUUUAAAAUCUUCCCCAAUUUGGACCUAUGUUACCAAGAGAAAAAAAAAAAUGGCGUCCGGUAUAGGAAUGAUGGAUUCUGCAUGUUCUGUGAGUAGACCAUUCUUUCAGGGAUCAACUCGACUCUCAAGCUCAAAUCUUUCCAAAAUUGAAGAGGUUCCUUUUAAAUUUCUCUUCUUUUGUUUAGUUUCUUCUUUUGAGUAAAAAUUCUCACGGCAAUGAUGAGGGUUUCUACAGAUGGCUGAUGGUGCGAUUCCAUGUCAACUAAUGGAUCGAUGCUAUCCAUCUAGAUGUGCUGCCCAUGCGUAAGGUUAAUUUUGAGGCCAAGAAAAUAUAUAAAUGAGACGAACCAGAAUCACAAGGUCGUUGAAGAUGUUUCAGAUCACCAGAGAGGCUCGCUUCUCUUCUUUAUCCACGGAAUUGGGGUUUUCUUUCAACUUCACUGACUAUUUCAUUUGUUUGUUAAUUUUGAGUAUCAAGAAAACUAUAAUUUUAAAGGAAAAUCAAUUCAACUAAAGUCUUAUGCAAUUGUUUUAACUGAAUUGAGCUGAGUAUUUUCAUUUUGGUCGAUUAAGCCAUUACGCUUCUAAUUUCUUGUCCUCCUUUUAUUCCUCAUUUUUUUUCUCUCUCAUUGUAUAGGAUUCUUGCCUUCCUAUUUGACUCUCUGAUUUUUCCCGGUAUUUUGUUCUUUACGGCGUUUCGCAGAUGGAAGGAAGGCUUCUCCUCAAUUUGGAGUUCAUGCAGUGGAUGAAAAGUAAAUGUUAACAAGUAAUCCUUACCUCAUUGCUUUCUAAAUUUUCAGUUUAGUGGAAUUUUUUUAAUUUUCUCGUGUAGGAAGUGAGUGGUAUAUUGGUAGUUUUGAGCAUCAAUCCCGCACAUUUAUUACUUAAAAGGACCCAAUGAGGAAAGGCCAGGUUUUCUUUGUAUGAAAGCUAGCUAGCUCCUAGCUCCUAGCUCCUAAGCAAAGAAUAAAGGAAUUUAGGCAUGGACAGAAAAGACACUGUGAAAGGUCAGAAUGCUGUAUUGUUGAAAAUUUGAUAAAUCCAGCUGAUUGGCAUAGUUAUUUUUACUAUUUGAAGUACAGUAGGCGCUUGGCUUUUGGAAAAAAAGAACAUUAUGGAUAUCUGUUAAUAAUAAAUGUUUUGAGUUUCCAUGUUACUUGCAUUCCCUAGGAAAGGAAUGGACAACUCCUCAGACGUGCAAUACCUGCUGCUUAGAAUGAACACGCUCGCUGUCUAGUUGUUGUCAAUGAAAAAGAUAAAACGAAAAUGCCAGGGAAUCUUAGACGCGGUGUAAACAAGUUUGGACUAUUGAAUAUGUAUGAGAAGACUUACACCCAUAAACAAGUUUAUAGGCGAAAAUGUAGAAGUCGGUGGUGUCUUUUUUAGAGGUAUAAACAAAAUACCAUUGAUCACAUUUUUUAGAGGUAUAUUCAUGAAAAGUAUGGUGAAAUAAAGUAAUCUUACAUCAAAGGGUUACUUAUGAGAACUUUUUAAGCAUUUUGUAAAUUUUAAAGAAAACAUAGACGCGGACCUUUGAUCACAUUUCCAUAAUCCAACUAGAUGAGUAUACACUAUGAACUUGGACUUGACAUAGGCCCACAGGUGCAUAGGCCUCACUAGGCAGGUGUGAACUUGGGCUUAGCCCACGCCUACAUGCUUUGAGGCUUAAUUGAAAUAUCCACCAACAUGAAGUGGGGACUUUUCUCAAUAGUACAGCAAUUUAAAAAAGUUAUGCUUAAAUUACUGUACUGGCAGAAGUUAUUACAAAUAUAGGGUAGUUUUUGCCACAUAGGAGAGAGGAGAGAGGAGAGAGGGUGAGAGAAGAGAGGAAAGAGGAGAGAGGAGAGAGGAGAGAGGAGAGAGGGUGAGAGAGAGGAGAUAGGAGAGAGGGUGACUGUAAAAAAAAAGCAAACUCGUCUCUUGAAGAGACGAGUUCCAUGAAAGAAGAGAGGAAAGAGGAGAGAGGAGAGAGGAGACAGGAGAGAGGAGAGAGGAGAGAGGGUGUGUAAAAAAAAGUAAACUCGUCUCUUGAAGAGACGAGUUCCAUGAAAAAAGAGAGGAAAGAGGAGAGAGGAGAGAGGAGAGAGGGUGACUGUAAAAAAAAAGCAAACUCGUCUCUUGAAGAGACGAGUUCCAUGAAAGAAGAGAGGAAAGAGGAGAGAGGAGAGAGGAGAGAGGGUGAGAGAGAGGAGACAGGAGAGAGGAGAGAGGAGAGAGGGUGUGUAAAAAAAAGCAAACUCGUCUCUUCAAGAGACGAGUUCCAUGUAAAAAAAAAUAUAUUUUUUAUUUUAAAAAAUCCCAAAUUUAAAAAAAAAAAAAAAAAAUUCCAAAGGGAACUCGUCUCUUCAAGAGACGAGUUCCAUGUAAAAAAAAAAUUUUUUUAAAAAAAUAUAAUUUUUAUUUUAAAAAAUCCCAAAUUAAAAAAAAAAAAUAAAAUCCAAAGGGAACUCGUCUCUUCAAGAGACGAGUUCCAUGUAAAAAAAAAUAUAUUUUUAAAAAAAUAAAAAAUCCCAAAUUAAAAAAAAAAAAAAAAAAAACACACAAUUCCAAAGUGAAGAGACGAGUUCCAUGUAAAAAAAAAUAUAUUUUUUAAAAAAUAUAUUUUUUAUUUUAAAAAAUCCCAAAUUUUAAAAAAACAAAAAUAAAUUCCAAAGGGAACUCGUCUCUUGAAGAGACAAGUUCCAUGUAAAAAAAAAUAUAUUUUUUUAAAAAUAUAUAUAUUAAAAAAAAAAUCCCAAAUUAAAAAAAAAAAAAAAAAAAAAACACAAUUCCAAAGGGAACUCGUCUCUUCAAGAGACGAGUUCCAUGUAAAAAAAAUAUAUAUUUUUUAAAAAAUAUAUUUUUUAUUUUAAAAAAUCCCGAAUUAAAAAAAAAAAAAUUCCAAAGGGAACUCGUCUCUUCAAGAGACGAGUUCCAUGUAAAAAAAAAUAUUUUUUUAAAUAUAUAUAUAUUUAAAAAAAAAAAAAAAAAAAACAAUUCCUCAAAAUUUCUAACAGACGAGUUCUCAUCUAAAAAAAAAUAUUUUUUUUUUAAAUAUAAAAUUUCAAGAGACGAGUUCCUUUAGGAAAAAAAAUAUAUUUUUUAAAAAAUAUAUUUUUUAUUUUAAAAAAUAUAUUUUUUAUUUUAAAAAAUAUAUUUUUUAUUUUAAAAAAUCCCGAAUUAAAAAAAAAAAAAAAUUCCAAAGGGAACUCGUCUCUUCAAGAGACGAGUUCCAUGUAAAAAAAAAAUUAUUUUUUUAAAAAUAUAUAUAUAUUAAAAAAAAAAAUCCCAAAUUAAAAAAAAAAAAAAAAAAAAAAUUAAUUCCAAAGGGAACUCGUCUCUUCAAGAGACGAGUUCCCAUGUAAAAAAAAAUAUUUUUUUAAAUAUAUAUAUUUUUAAAAAAAAAAAAAAAAAAAAAAAAAAAAUUUCCCCAAAUUUCCAAACAGAGGGUUUCCCACCAAAAAAAAAAUUUUUUUUUUUAAUUAUAAAAUUUCAGGAAACGGUUUCCUUUGGAAAAAAAAAAAUAUUUUUUAAAAAAAAAUUUUUUAAUUUUAAAAAACCCCAAUAUAAAAAAAAAAAAAAANNNNNNNNNNNNNNNNNNNNNNNNNNNNNNNNNNNNNNNNNNNNNNNNNNNNNNNNNNNNNNNNNNNNNNNNNNNNNNNNNNNNNNNNNNNNNNNNNNNNAAAAAAAAAUAUUUUUUUUAAAAAUAAUAUAUAUUUNAAAAAAAAAAAAAAAAAAAAAAAAACAAUUCCUCAAAAUUCCUAACAGACGAGUUCUCAUUUAAAAAAAAAUAUUUUUUUUUAAAUAUAAAAUUUCAAGAGACGAGUUCCUUUAGGAAAAAAAAUAUAUUUUUUAAAAAAUAUAUUUUUUUUUUUAAAAAAUCCCGAAUUAAAAAAAAAAAAAAAAAAAUUCCAAAGGGAACUCGUCUCUUCAAGAGACGAGUUCCAUGUAAAAAAAAAAUUAUUUUUUUAAAAAUAUAUAUAUAUUAAAAAAAAAUCCCAAAUUAAAAAAAAAAAAAAUUAAUUCCAAAGGGAACUCGUCUCUUCAAGAGACGAGUUCCCAUGUAAAAAAAAAAAAUUUUUUUAAAUAUAUAUAUAUAUUUAAAUUAAAAAAAAAAAAAAAACAAUUCCUCAAAAUUCCUAACAGACGAGUUCUCAUCUAAAAAAAAAUAUUUUUUUUUUAAAUAUAAAAUUUCAAGAGACGAGUUCCUUUAGGAAAAAAAAUAUAUUUUUUAUUUUAAAAAAUCCCAAAUUUAAAAAAAAAAAAAAAUUCCAAAGGGAACUCGUCUCUUGAAGAGACGAGUUCCCUUUUUGAAAAUUUUUUGGGAUUUUUUUACAUGGAACUCGUCCCUGGAAGAGAGGAGUUUGCUUUUUUUUACCCACCCUCGCUCCCCUCUCCNNNNNNNNNNNNNNNNNNNNNNNNNNNNNNNNNNNNNNNNNNNNNNNNNNNNNNNNNNNNNNNNNNNNNNNNNNNNNNNNNNNNNNNNNNNNNNNNNNNNNNNNNNNNNNNNNNNNNNNNNNNNNNNNNNNNNNNNNNNNNNNNNNNNNNNNNNNNNNNNNNNNNNNNNNNNNNNNNNNNNNNNNNNNNNNNNNNNNNNNNNNNNNNNNNNNNNNNNNNNNNNNNNNNNNNNNNNNNNNNNNNNNNNNNNNNNNNNNNNNNNNNNNNNNNNNNNNNNNNNNNNNNNNNNNNNNNNNNNNNNNNNNNNNNNNNNNNAAAAAAAAAAUUUUUUUAAAUGUGUUUAUAUUUUUAAAUUAAAAAAAAAAAAAAAACAAUUCCUCAAAAUUCCUAACAGACGAGUUUUCAUUUAAAAAAAAAUAUUUUUUUUUUAAAUAUAAAAUUUCAAGAGACGAGUUCCUUUUGGAAAAAAAAUAUAUUUUUUAUUUUAAAAAAUCCCAAAUUUAAAAAAAAAAAAAAAUUCCAAAGGGAACUCGUCUCUUGAAGAGACGAGUUCCAUGUAAAAAAAAAUAUAUUUUUAAAAAAAUAUAUUUUUUAUUUUAAAAAAUCCCAAAUUUAAAAAAAAUAAAAAAAUAAAAUUCCAAAGGGAACUCGUCUCUUCAAGAGACGAGUUCCCUGUAAAAAAAAAUAUAUUUUUAAAAAAAUAUAUUUUUUAUUUUAAAAAAUCCCAAAUUAAAAAAAAAAAAAAAUCCAAAGGGAACUCGUCUCUUCAAGAGACGAGUUCCAUGUAAAAAAAAAAUAUUUUUUUAAAAAUAUAUAUAUUAAAAAAAAAAUCCCAAAUUAAAAAAAAAAAAAAAAAAAAAAACACACAAUUCCAAAGGGAACUCGUCUCUUGAAGAGACGAGUUCCAUGUAAAAAAAAAAUAUUUUUUAAAAAAUAUAUUUUUUAUUUAAAAAAAUCCCAAAGGAAACUCGUCUCUUGAAGAGACGAGUUCCAUGUAAAAAAAAUAUAUUUUUUUAAAAAUGUAUAUAUUAAAAAAAAAAUUCCCAAAUUAAAUAAAUAAAAAAAAAACACACAAUUCCAAAGGGAACUCGUCUCUUGAAUAGAGUUCGCUUGAUGAAUUGUUUUUUUAAAUAUUUUUUUUAAAAAAAAAUUUGUUUUUACGAACUCAUCUUAAAGAGACGAGUUCCCUUUAGGAAUUAUGAGGAAUUGUUUUUUUUUUAAAAUAUAUUUUUUUUUACAUGGAACUCGUCUCUUCAAGAGACGAGUUCCCUUUGGAAUUGUGUUUUUUUUUUUUUUUUUUUUUUUAAUUUGGGAUUUUUUUUUUAAUAUAUAUAUUUUUUAAAAAAUAUAUUUUUUUUUACAUGGAACUCGUCUCUUCACUUUGGAAUUGUGUGUUUUUUUUUUUUUUUUAAUUUGGGAUUUUUUUUUAAUAUAUAUAUUUUUUUAAAAAUAUAUUUUUUUUUACAUGGAACUCGUCUCUUGAAGAGACGAGUUCCCUUUGGAUUUUUUUUUUUUUUUUAAUUUGGGAUUUUUUAAAAUAAAAAUUAUAUUUUUUAAAAAAUAUUUUUUUUUUACAUGGAACUCGUCUCUUGAAAAGACGAGUUCCCUUUGGAAUUUUUUUUUUUUUUUUUUUUUUAAUUUGGGAUUUUUUAAAAAAAAAAAAAAAUUUUUUUUUACAUGGAACUCGUCUCUUGAAGAGACGAGUUCCCUUUUUGAAAAUUUUUUGGGAUUUUUUUACAUGGAACUCGUCUCUUGAAGAGACGAGUUUGCUUUUUUUUACACACCCUCUCUCCUCUCUCCUCUCUCCUCUCUCCUGUCUCCUCUCUCUCACCCUCUCUCCUCUCUCCUCUCUCCUCUUUCCUCUCUUCUUUCAUGGAACUCGUCUCUUCAAGAGACGAGUUUGCUUUUUUUUUACAGUCACCCUCUCUCCUCUCUCCUCUCUCCUCUUUCCUCUCUUCUUUCAUGGAACUCGUCUCUUCAAGAGACGAGUUUGCUUUUUUUUACACACCCUCUCUCCUCUCUCCUCUCUCCUGUCUCCUCUCUCUCACCCUCUCUCCUCUCUCCUCUCUCCUCUUUCCUCUCUUCUUUCAUGGAACUCGUCUCUUCAAGAGACGAGUUUGCUUUUUUUUUACAGUCACCCUCUCUCCUCUCUCCUCUCUCCUAUCUCCUCUCUCUCACCCUCUCUCCUCUCUCCUCUUUCCUCUCUUCUCUCACCCUCUCUCUUCUCUCCUCUUUCCUCUCUCCUCUCUCCUAUGUGGCAAAAACUACCCUAUAUUUGUAAUAACUUCUGCCAGUACAGUAAUUUAAGCAUAACUUUUUUAAAUUGCUGUACUAUUGAGAAAAGUCCCAUGAAGUGGUCUUUUUGAGGCAUGUUUACACCUCAGAACGACAAAUUCGUUUUAAAAACAUAAAAUCAAACUUUAACUCCGAUUAAUCUUAUUUGUGUUUUUUAAUUUUUAUGUACUUAAUUUAUUUAUUUUACACACUUGUUAGUCAUCACUUGACAUAUUCACAACAAGGAGAGUUAGAUUGAUAAAAAAAACAAAGAAAUGGUUUUUUUUUUUUAUCAAUUUUUCUUAAAUUUUUUCUUUUGACUUGAAAAAUAUAAAACACUUGCAUUCAAAUGACAAAUCAAAAUAUGAUUUUCAAAAUAUUUCUUUAAAGUUGGUUUAUGCAUAACAAAAAAUUACUAAUGUCAAUUGUUUUCAAGGUAAACAUAUCAUUUUUUUUUUUGGUACGGGUCCCUAAAAAAAUCAAUUAGGUAAUCUUUGAUACCCAUAUAUUUUAAGGCUCUAGAGGGUUAAUCUUUUUUUUUUUUUUCUUUUAGAAUCUAAAAUAAUUUAAAAUUUUGAACAACAUGAAAGGAUUUUCUUAAAGGACAAGCACUACAAAUAUAAUGUCAUCUUUUACAAAAAUUAUAGAUGGUGAAUAAACUAUUGUUAGAUUUUUCUUUCAUAAAAUAGUUCUUAAACUAUUUUUUUGUUCUUGAAAGGCUUCUAGUUUAUCUUUUUUUUUCUUUUUUUUUUCUUUUUUGUAUCAAAAAUGCAUUUUUAGUUAGCAAGAAUCACAUCAAAAUAUUUUUGUCCAAUAAAUAAUUUUGUUAAAAAGGAUGUUAAUCAUUCAUUAUUUUUUUUUAACUCAUCAUUUUUGUUAGGAAUAUUAGGCUAAUCCAACCUAUGGUAAUCACCUUAGAGGGAGGUGAAUAGGGUGAUGGUCUCUUUUCGUAAAUUUAAACUAUAUGAAUGAAGAGACAAUUAUAUACAAGUAUAUAAUAAGCAAUAUAAAGACAAUUGCAUAUAAAUUAAAGAAUAGGGAAGAGAGAAUGCAAACACAAGAGUUUAUAGUGGUUUGGCGCAACCCAGUCUACAUCCACUCUCUUCUAACAUUAAUCCUGAGCUUCAGGUUCCACUAAUCCAAGGCUUCCAAACCAAGUCUUCAAGCAAUACAAUUGGAUUAUGGUUCCAAUUCACCCUUUUAGACUUUUGGCUCCAAACACCCUUUACACUUCUCAAGAGAUAUCCCACUCUUAAACAACCCCUCAAGUGAUACCCCCACACUUGAGAAACUUCCUCUCAAAGAUUUACAAAUGAAUGAUCUUUAAAAAAUCAUAGUACAAAAACUUUAAGCUUAAAUGAUACAAGAAAAACUAGGAUUGAAUGGUGCACUAAGGAUAUGCAAGUUGUAGAACAAUGGUGCACUCAAAAACACUCUUCCAAGGCUCAAAUAUAAUCAAGAAAGGUUUGUGAAGGUUAAAACUUAUAAAACAAUGAAGAUUGGAGUUUUUUUAUAAAAAAAAAAAAUGCAAACUAGCUAUUGGGGGUUCGACCGGUUGACUAGCCAUUAGCAUUUAAUGCUUGGCGAGUGACUGUUGAGCCUCAAUCGGACCUCAACCAGACCUCAACCGGUUGAGGUUCAACCUUGACCGGGAAGAAAGACCACUAGAAGAGAUAAACUUUUUGGCUUCCUUCACCGGUCCUCGACCGGACGAGCACAACCAGUCGACCGAUUGAAUCAGUUGAGCCAUUUUUUGGCUCAACACCCAACCUUUUUCAACUUAAAACCUUUUAACACAAGUUUGAAAAUCAUUUAACACAAGGUUUUAGUUGAAAACAUGAAAUCAUCCAAUUUUUAAGAUAUUUAAAGCAAUAUUACUCUUGAAUUAUUUUGGUGCAUAAAUAAAGAAUGAAAUGCAUGAAAGUCCUAGUGCACCAACAACCUUACAAAGAGAUCUUAUGAAGCUUUGGUCUUGAAAAACUCUUCUCUUUGAGGUGAUCUUCUUCUUCAUGAUUUCUCCUUGGCUUGAUUUGUCUUUGUGAUUGCCACUUUGGAAAUCAUCUUGCCUAAUCACACUUGAAAUAUGAUCAUUAGUUCUAAACCUUGUUUUGUUAUCAUCAAAAUUAAGAUUAAUCAAACCUUGGUUUCACAAUUUUCUUCUUCAAAUGAUGUUUUUACCUUCUUAAUAUUUUCAAAAUUUUCUUUGAGCUUAAUCAUUGAACUUAUUUUCAAGAGAAUAAAUUUUCUUCUUGAGAAAGGUAUUUUUCAAAAUCAAGGUAUAAUUCUUCAAAGAUAUUUUGUAAUUCAUCAUUUAUAGUUGAAGAAUUUAGUUCAUCUUCAUGGUCUUCCAAAGCCAUGAAACACAUAUUGACCACUUCAUCUUCAUUUUUCUAUUUGGAUGAUUCCAUGAUUCCGUGUCACUUUCACUCCAAGUGACAACCAUGACUUUCUUCUUCUUUUUUGCACUUUUGGACUCUUUCUUUGAAUAAAUCUUUAUUCCCUUGAUCUUUCAAUACUUGAUAUACUUUCUGAAUUAUUGGUGAUGAUAUCAACAUCCAUCUUCACUUUCCUCAUCUUCCUCAUCAAUUAUGGAAACUAUGAAUGCCAUUUUUUUUCUUCAACUUCUUGAUAAUUACUCAUAUUUAUUUCAUGAGUCAUGAGUAAUCUAAUAAGUUCUUGAAGUGGGAGCUUGGUGAGAUUUUUGUCUUCUUGGAUUAUGGUCAUCUUAUCUUUCCAAUUUUUUUUGGUAAAAACCUCAAAAUCUUCAUGACUUUCUUUAUUUUGGUGUAAGUUUUUCCUAAGGCUUGAAAAUGGUGCCUAUAAACCUAGUGAAUAUUCAACUAAUUUUUCAAUAGCCUUCAUAGUAAAUACCUAAGGAUGUUGAUUUUAGACUACAUGAGUAAUUUCUAAGAGUUUCCAUAUGGCUUUGGUGGUUUCACAUUGAGAGGUCAUAUUAUAUUCACUUCUAUCUAAUACACAAUGGAGAUAACAUAUAACUUUAACAUUUAGUUGUGUAUUUAUCUCUUCAAACACAAUCCAUUAAUGACUUGGCUUGGGAAAUAUCAUUCCAUUUAUAAAUGGUUCUUGAAAGAUUUUUUUUUUUUAGGUCUUUUCCUACUUGAUUUUUCUUUAACUUAAUUUAUCUUUAUGAUAAUCAUUUUCUUGUUACCUAAGUGCACUUAAGAUAAACCAUUAUAUGCAAACAUUGUUUUGUUAUCAUAAAAACCAUGACUAACCAAACCUUUGCUUCAUAAGAGGUUUAUUUAUUUAUUUUAUUAUUAUUUAUUUAUUUUUAACUUUUAUCUUAUUAGAAAAAGUCAAAUUUUUUUUUCAAAUUUUUUCUUUUUCAAACUUUAACUUUGUUAUGAGACUUAAACUCAAUUUCUUAUAUAAAAUAAUCCAAAUUUAUUUUAAAAACUUUGAAUAAUUAUUGUCUUAAAAAUGAAUUGAACUACCUCAAUUUUAUGUAAUAUGGAUGAAUUUACUAUAAGUUAACAAAUUUAUUAUCAAAAAAAGGCUAACUACAACUAAAAUAGAUUCAUUUGUUUCUUAAAAAAAAAUUAAAAUCUUAAAUAUUUUUAUAAAUUAUUAUUCAAAAACAAAAUCAAUUGUAUAAAAAUAACUUAAUUUAAAUAAAAAAAUAAAUACACAAAAUUCUAAAAUUAAAACUAAAAAUCUAUUGCAUGGAGUCUUUAUUUUUAUUUUAUAUUCUUAAUAAAAUUGAAUUUCAUAAAUCUCUAUAGAUUCCUCUAUUAAAAAUGAAAAAAAAUAUAUUCAAGUUAUAAAAUUUGGAUCAUAAAUGAAUUUAUUAAAAAAAAAUUAAAUUUCAUCCACUUACCCAUGUAACAAAAGCAAAAUAAACUAUUAUGGAUUCGAAUGAUUUUUUUUGUUCAUUUAGAAUUUCAAAACAUAAUUUAUACAUAUCUAAAUAUCUGGUAGAAUAGAAACAAUAGGUUUAAUAAUUAAUAGCAUAAAAAAAUAACAUAAAUGCUUAAUAACAUUCAAUUUUAUUUAGACUUAAAUCAAAUUUAAUUUUUUUUUUUAAGAGAAAAGCCAACACUUUGCUAUUGAAGUAGAGAGAGGGGUGAGAAUUCAACAGAAACAUGGUUAUUAGUGCAAAAUUGAUAAAUUGAAAUUAAGUUUUUUUGCAUUAAAGGGACACAAAGAACGUUUUGUAAAGUAAACGUGUUAGAGGAAGUAGGUAUGGUGGUAGAAUCGGUAUGUGUGAUGGGAAGGGUCAAUCCAUCGUCGAUCAUGAUAUCAUCAAAUCCUUGAUACGGGCUAUAAAGAGAGAGAUCACUCAAGUCAGACGCAACGUGGUGAGAUGCUCUACUAUCUAGCAGCCAAGUGGGAGUAGUGUUGUUGCUGAGAACAACAUGAUUGGCUCGUGGUUGCCAGGGUGUGGAGGGGUGAUAUCCCUGAGUGCUUUGAGGACAAGGUGUCGGGGAUUGUUGAUUAGUGACAAGCCGAAACAUUGGGCUUCGCUUAGCAGUGUGUCUUUGAAUACCACAUGCUUGACAAUGACCUAAAUAAGGUUUGGGUUGGCGUUGAUUAUGAGAAAACUCAGUAGUAGAGCCUGGUUGUUGUGGAGUGGUGGCUGGUGGACGCUAAUUUGGACGAUUUUGGAAGGCUGUAGGAUUUGUCGUUGCUAGUAGUGAUAGAGGAGAUGGUUGAGUGGUCUGAAAAGAUGCUUCUUUGUUGAGAAGUUUCUCAUGGAGCUUAGCAAAAGAAAUUGACGUGUCACGGACAUUAAUUACAUUAAUGACAAAUUUGUACUCAUCACUUAGUCAUUCAAGAACCCGAUCAAUAAGAUCCUUAUCAUCAAUUGGCUUCCCCAAAAGGGCAAGUUUAUCGGCAUGAGUUUUUAUCGCCUGCAUAUAUUCACUAAUUGAUUUUGAGCCCUUGGUACACUGCUUUAAUUGUUCAUUCAAUUGUUUAAUAUGAACACGAGAUGGUUUGGCAUGGGUAUUGACUAAGGUUUGUCAUGCAUCAAGGGAAAUGGUGGUGUAGGCAAUGAUCGGUUGUAGUGAAACGGAGAUAGCACCAAGGAGAGCGCUAAAGAUGAGACGAUCCUGACGCUUUUAGGUUGUGUAUGCCGGAUUUGGGGAUGCAAUACCAGUGACGGUGACAGUGGGUGGUGGUGGAGUAUGAGCAUCAUCAAUGAAGUGAUAAAGAUCAUAACCUUUAAGAAGAUAUUGGAUUUGAAUGCUCCAUGUGAGAUAAUUGGUGGAUGACAAUUUGGUGAUAUUGGAGAGAUUGAUUAUAAGAGGGGGAUGUUGAGGAUCUUGGGAGUUUUGGAUGGUGAUAGGAUCGUUGGUGGAAGAUUGGGCUCUUGAAUGUUGAAGUAGAGAGAGGAUUAUUGAGAAACAAUGAUUUGACUUUUCCAUUAAUUAAGAAUGAAUAUAUAUACACAAAACUUAAAACACAAAAAUAGGAAACAAUCCUAAAAUUUGGAGACUACAACAAAAAUAGGAAACAAUCCUAGAAUUAGGAAAUUACAACAAAAAUAGGAAGUUACAACUAAUUACAAGAAUUUGAAAAUAGAAAGAAAAUAUAUUGUAAUGAAUUUUCUAAUAUGUGCAAGUAAAUAAUGACAUACACUUUUGAUAAUGAAUAAUAUACAAAAAAAAAAGUGAAAGGAUAUAUAAAGUCCGUUUGAUAAUGAUUUUAAAAAGUAUUUUUAGAGUGUGAUUGGAAAAUAUUCUAAAAAGCGUUUUUAGUAUUUUUAACACUUAAAUAAUAAAAAGUUUUAAGUAUUAAAAAUAUUAAAAAUGAUUCUUAAAAUUACUACCAAACGAACUUUUAGUAUUUUUGAAAAAAAAAAUUAAAUGUUUGAUAAAUUUAAAAAACAUGAAAAACCACUUAUAGAAUUGAAAAAUCAUUUGUAAUGUUUUUUUUUUUUUUUAGAGAAAAACUUGAUUCUCCUAAAAAGACUUCUAUGAAAACCACCAACGCACUCAUAGUACAACGAGGCUACUUUCUAUGUUCCUUAUUGAUAUUGAAUAGAAUUUGGAGAAUGAGCAGUUUCUCAAUUCAAUCUAUUGGAUUCUAAAUAUAUUACAUUUGUCUAUGGUAGGACAUUACAAAGAUGGACUGGGAUUUAUGAUGUGUCAAUUGCCAAGCAUACCUUAAGUCACUUGAUUGAUGUCAACUUUAUGAUAAACAUGACAUUGGAAGCUCUAUACUUUCAGAUCCAAACCUUCCUCUUUUCAAUUCUUUAAUUGAAAAAUAAUGAUGAGGUUAUGGAGAUAAAUGUCCUUUUUUCAUACCAAGCGAAGUGAUCAUGUGGGUACACAUGCCCACUUGGUGUUUAAUUAUUGGGACUCUUCACCUGCCGGUCAAAAUGGUCCCUUUGGACCAUAUAUAUUAUUUGGAAAUAUUUUGAUAAAAUAGUCUCUUUGAUACCACCGAGGAAACUGAAAGAGUCAUUGUAUUUAUUUUAUUAUUGUUUUUUUAAAUAAGUUUGAAAUUAUCUUUUAAAGUUCUGAUUUCUGAAAAGGAAGAAAUCAUUAUGCCUUUAGUAAGAAUAUAAAAAUUAUUUUUUAUGUAUUUAUUUUAUAAUUUUAAAUUAACAAUAAAUUAACCACAUAUAUAAGAUAUGUGUGUUACAGUCAUAUAUAAGUUGUUUUGUUCCUUAAUUCGAAAAGAUGUCCAAGUCGUUAAUUUCAAUCGAGGGGACAACUUCACCAGAAAGUCGGGCCUCCUAGUUACGGCAGAUGUGUCGGUCCAUAUAUAAAGAAAUAAUAUUUUUUCUAUUUUAUAUAUAUAUAUAUAUAUAUUGGAAGCCAUCUGGUAAAGUGUCUUGCGUUGAAGAUGGUGUAAGAAGAGAGAGGGGACUCCAGUUUGCUGCAUUAAGCCGCAAAGUGAGGGACACAGAAAAGAAUGGGGUCCUUGUCGUUGGUGCUAAUUCUUCUGUCUCACGCCUGCGCUGUGAGUGCUUCAGAUUCGCGUCUCCACAAUGAUAACAUAUUUAUCCUGGCCGGACAGAGCAACAUGGCUGGACGCGGUGGCGUUAUUAACGGAACCUGGGAUGGAAUUGUCCCUUCCGAAUGCCAACCCAACCCAUCCAUCCUCCGACUCACUGCCGGACUCACAUGGGUGGAAGCUCGAGAACCCCUCCACGCUGACAUUGAUACAAACAAGACAUGUGGGAUUGGACCUGGGAUGGCCUUUGCCAAUGCCGUGUUGAGGGACCCUGCCUUUGGGAUUGUGGGCCUGGUUCCUUGCGCCGUCGGUGCGACCAACAUAAGCGAGUGGUCUCGCGGGACUUAUCUUUACACCCAGUUGGUGAGGAGAGCAAAGGCGUCCCUGCAGCAUGGUGGAAAGAUUCGAGCUCUUCUCUGGUAUCAAGGAGAGAGCGAUUCUAAGAGUCCAGAGUAUGCUAAGUCCUACAAGGGUAAAUUGGAGAAAUUCAUCCUGGACCUGCGCACUGAUCUGCGGUCUCCUAUGCUACCAGUGAUCCAGGCAUUGCCUCUUUUCCUUUUUAAAACGUUUUAUGAUUUACUUUGAUUUAACAUCGAUAGAGACCUUAGGUGAGGCGCUCAAUGCUGCCUAUUCUAAUGCGAAACUUUAGCAUAAAUUGAGGCCAAAUUUUAUUAUUUUAUCCUGUCUUUAAAAUAAGUUUGGGGAAGCAUCCAAAUGAGGGUGGGAGCCAAAGUCUGAAGGCCUUAGCAAGUGGGUUUUCCUCCAGAUCUCAAGCAUCCUCUAGUCAUAUUGAUCAGGAUACUUUUCUUGGAUACCCUAUCAGUUCUUCCUGGGUUAUCAUGCAAUAUACAAAAGGGGCAAAUUCAAUCAAAAAAUCAGUUGGAAACUCAUUAUAGGGAUAUCUUAGGACUCUGUGUAGGGAAGAUUCUGUUUUUGGGAAAGAACGUAUAAAAGGAAAUCCGAAUUUGUAAAAUCUAAUUUUAAUAUGUUUAAUGAAAAGGAUUACUUUGAUCACUUAGGUUUUACCUUUUUAAUGACACGGGUAUUAAUUUUGACUUAAAUGGGUACUAUUUUGGGGAGAAUUAUUUUUGAAAGAGUUUUCUUUUUUUCUUUUAUUUAUUUUUUUCCCAAUGUGAGUAUGGGCCGGUUCAUGUCUGCAACAAGGAGACUUAGUUGUUGGCCAAACGAGCAACAAACGGAUCCGUUCAGGCAAAGAAAAAGCAUUGGACCGUCUGCAUUUUUAUUUUCUCUCGCUUAUUUACUUAAUCACUCGCUUUAAAAUUCAACCGUGUUAUAACUUAUACGUAUGAUAGCUGGCUUCUCUGAAAUCACCUAAAGAAUGUUGAUUGUUUUAUGGGGCAGGUGGCUCUAGCAUCAGGAGGACCAUUUAUAAAGAUAGUGAGAGAAGCUCAGCUGGGAGUUGACCUUCCCAACGUGACAUGCGUGGACGCCAUGGGACUGCCCCUAGAACCUGAUGGAAUACACCUCACCACCCCGGCCCAGGUUCGACUUGGAAAGAGGUUGGCCAGUGCUUUCCUUCAGACCGUGCCCACGCCCAUUAGCAAUAAUACUUCCAAAAGGUUUUCCUCUUUCAUUUCUAAUUCUGUUAUGGAUCCAUUAUUUAGAUUUACCCUAAUGAUCCUAACCAUCCCAUUGUCUUACAUGAUGUAAGCCAUAUCAAUGCCUAACAUUCUUUGACAUCAAAUUCUUGUCCAAUUUGGAAAAACUGUGUUAUGUAUGGAAUUUUUUUUUUUCCAACAAAUUAACAUUGCUCCAUGUACUAAAUUUGAUUUAUUCAACGUAUUUGGCCCAAUUUUACACAAAUAUUCAAAAUUCUAAAACCAUCUAAACAAACCAUUACAUAAUCCUUUUGAGAUAUUUGUGGUCCUUGGAGUAUCAUAUUCUAUUACCAUUCUAAAUAUAUCCUUGCAUAAUCCUUAAUAUGCAUAAUAUGCCUUAGCCCUUUCGUGCCAAGUAGGUUACAUCUUGUAGGUAGAUUAGCUUCUUAAUCUGUGUCUUGAAAUACAACAUUUUCUAUGUUAGCAUGACUUCUACACGAGUACAAAGUAGUAAUUUCCUCAUCAGUAAGCCUCUUACCUCAUACCUCACAAUGAUAGCCCAUGCACCUCAUGUAGUUGUUGACAUAGUUGGCAUCCUUUCUACCAUGAGGAACAUAAGGGAAAGGACAUCCACCUUGGAUGUUCCAUACGUGGCAACACCUUUUUCAACUAUGCCCUUUUAGCACAUAGCUAUAUUUGGGCGAGGUGCUCUCUAAGGGUCUAUUAAAAUCAGCUUUAAAGAUAUUAGAUUUGUAGAGUUAUUUAUUUAAUUGCAAACAUUUUUGGAAACACGUCUAAUAGAGGGAUAAGAAAAAUUGAUCUUAUUGUGGCCUCAAUGGACAACUUUUAUAUGGUGUGAAGGUGGACUUCUUGACCUAAGUCAAAGGCAAUGUCCCUAAAUUUCCUAUAUUCCAUGGCUAUCCUAGAGAAGAGAGCACCUUGUGUAGUUUAUUAUUAGAGGUAAAAUGAAAACUAUUCUAAUCUUUACUAUACAACUAAAGAAUUGGUUAAAGAAUUGAAGAAGAUAGAUGAGAUUUAUUUACUUUUAUAAAGAAAAGAGAUGUGCUUUAGAGAGACCCAUGUAUAAGGAGAUUGUUAGAGUUGUUAUGAUGGACGAUAAUAUACUUGAGACCAUUUAUGAAUGAGAUCUUAUAAAAGUUUCUUGAGUUGAGGAAUUUCCCAAGCUUGGUAAACUAUUAGUGACAACCCAUUAAGGAAACUCAAUACGAGAGCAAUAAAAUACUAUUAAAUGAGAAAAAAAAAUGUGAAAAUGAAAAGAGAAGUAUCAAGAAACUCGCACUAUUAAACUACAAUAAGCUCUUUGAAGUAAACACUACUGUCUCAAACUUCAUUUUAUAAUCAAUAAAAAUCAAAUAUGAAACAACAUGGAACAACAUUAUGAGGUCUAAGAAAAGGAUAAGCAUGUUGUUGUCCAUUGAUGGAGCAUAUAGAGGUACCAUUUGCUAAAAACUUAUUCUUACCACUAGCUACUUCUAGACAUAGACAAGGUUGAGUCCCAGGCAAACAUGAUAGUAAUAGGACUUCUUGGUAAAGUUUGAUUACUUCUUUUUAUUAUAAGUCUAUUAGAGUUAAUUAGGUAAUUGACACCCCUGCGAGGUAUAAAUUGUUUCCUUAAGUAGUAGUGCGAUAUUCUAUAUUAGUUAAGAGAAUAAGGGUUUGUUUGGUUAUUGUUUUUUAAAACUAUUUUAAAAUAUACUUUUUAAAAACAAUUUUUGUAUUUUCGAAAAAAAAAAUGUAUUUUGGAAUUGAAUUCUAUAAAACAAUUUUUGUUUUAAAAAAAAAUGUUUGGUUGAGUUAAUAAAAAAAGUUUUUUAGAAUAAAUAAAACAAAAAACACGUUUGAAAGUUUUUUUUUUCUUCAAUUAACUUGAUAUUGUAAGUAUAUAAAUAAUUUUUAAAUUCACAUUUUAUUUAAAUUUUAAAAAUUAUUCUAAAAUUUAUUUACACUAAUUAUAAUUUUUGUUAAUUUUUAGCAGAUAAAUAUGAAGAUGGAGUAUUGAUAUAGAUAAAUAAUUUUUAUUAACUUUUAACAAGGUAAAUAUUAAUAUGGAGUAUGAUAUAGAUAAUAAUUUUUAUUAAAUUUUAGCUGAUAAAUAUGAACCUAGACAAAUAUAUCUACCAACAUAUAAGGAAGAAAAAUCACUCAAUUUUGAUUUGGUUCCUCUUCCAUACCCACAUCCCGUCACACUAUUUGCCCCAUCUUUUCUCUACAUUUUCCCCAUCCUCCCUCCAUCCAAAUAACCUUUUCUUUUUUCUUAUCCCAUUUAAUAAUAAUAAUAAUAAUAAAUUUCUUCUUCUUCUUCCUUUUUCUUUCCCAUUCCAAUCAAUAGUUACUGCUCACGCUCCCACCAUCCAGCAACUGACAUUGCUUCCAUCUUUGGAAACCUCACAACACCACUCCUUUCCACCUUGCUGUCAUGCGUUGUCGCUCACGGCAUCUCUAUCAUGGCCUUGCCCUUCAAAGCAUUGCACUGUAUUAGACACCUUUCACAUCCACAAUCAUGGCAAGACCACCAUGGUCUUGGUCAUUGCCCCUGGUAACCAAUAUGGUUGCCAUCUUCAUCCUCCAUGACCUUUAUUUUGUGUUGCUAGAGGAGAAACCAUAUGUAAGGAAACAUAAAAAACAAGUAAAGAAAACACGGAGAGUAGCUAUUCUAUGAACAGUAAAGAAAACAACCAAAACAUAUUUUCUUUAUUAUAUGAAAAAAGACCUUUUGAGAACACGGGAAGCACAAAAAAAAAACAAAAAUCACCUCAUCAUGUUUUCAGUAUUUUUUGUUUUCAAGAACAAAAAAUAGCAACCAAACAGGCCCUAAAUUUCUAGUAUAUAACAAUUUUCUUUAAUUGAAUAGACAUGUUUUAUAGUCUUGAAGAUCUUUUGGGUUCACAAGGAAUAAUAUCUAUGCAAAGAGAGCAUAUUGUUAUAAAAUGUAUCUAAGUAAAUCCCCACUCUUGAUAUCUAACCCUGAAAUAGAUAUUUGUCUGUUUGACUAGCACCACAAUCUUGUACCAUAGUCCUAUAAAAUUCAAUAAAGAUAUAUUUGUAUUAAGAGGGUGAUAUUCCAUAUCAAUUAAGUAAAAAAGUUUAUAACACUAUAUAUUUAGUAAGAUUUACUUAGUUGGAUAGACACAUUUUAAAACUAUAAUAAUACAUUAAGUUUAAAUAGAUGAUAUCUACACAUGAAGUAGCAAACCAUUACAAAUAAACCCUAGGGUGAGUUUAUUGAUCUCUUAAAUGACGGAUUGUAGCAUGCUCCUUUAUUUAAAAACCCUAUUGAAAUAAAAUAGUUUAAUGUAAAGGACAUCCAAGGUAGACAAGGAAAAUGUACAAAAAAGGCCACUAGGUUGAUUCACACUUACUAAUGGAUGAAAUUGAGGCAAGCUUGUCUUGUAUACCAAUAGGAUAAGUUGGAACAAAAAUUGCUUGAAGGGUUACUAGAAUCAUUAUUAUGCUUGAACAACCAUGGGAAAGUUUGAUUAUGGACUUCAUUAUCACCUAAGUCAAAACGGUAUAGAUUUAAUCAUAGUAAUCGGUGAUCGCCCAAGCAUGCUACAUUUAUAGUGGGUUCAAUUAUAGUGCAGAUACAAAAAAAAAACAUGGUUAUUCUUAAAGAACAUAAUAAAUAAUAGGGGAUGCCUAUGUUUAUCAUCAGUGAUCUAAAGCCUCACACUACCAGAUAUUUUGGAUACUUGAUUUUGCAAUUGACAUACAAUAUUUUAGUGGAUUGUCAUAAUCUUAUUUUAAACUCUAGUUAUAUGUCAUUAUGACAAGGUUUGAAGAUGUAUUUUCCUUGGACUAAAGAUUCUACCAGUUACCUGACAUGAAUACUCACUAUGGGUUACCUUUCUUUAUUGAACAUUUUUCAGGUGGGGAGCUUGAGUUUAAGGAUGUUGAGUCCUCAUUGUUUAGGAGGUUCGAUUUUUUAGUAUAGUGCAAUGAUUGACUUGGGUAUUGCUCAGUUUGAGCUUAGCUUCGUACAUAUAGUCCUUUAUUUUAGUUAAUUUUUAUGUUUCUCAUUGGCUUAGUACCUCUAGUUUAAUGGAACUUUCUCCAAUUAAGUACACACUCAAAUUAUGUUUCGUAUUUGUUUCUAUAGUGUUUUUUUUUCCAUUAGUUUUUAUUUCUUCAAUUAUUUAUUCACUUACAACUUUGGAAGAACUUUCUUGAACUAGUGAAAUUAAAAGAAUCACAAAUAACUAUAGCCACAAUUUCGAUUACACUAUUAAGACUGACAUAAAUAAGUUUUUUAUAACUAACAAUUAUUAUGGAGUUUUUGUUUAAAUUUUAGUAAAUCAUAUUAUCAUUAAGGUUGUAACCUGAACGGGUUGGUUCGACCCAACUCAAACCUAGCUUGAUGUUUAGACAGAUUUGGACAAAUAUUUUCAAUACUCCGGUUGAGUUUGAGUUAAAUUUUCAAACAACCCAAGCCUAUCACAAACCUUAUUUAAUGUUUUUAUAAUAUUUACAAUGUUUAUUAUCAUAAUUAAUAAUAUUUAUUUUCUUUUUAGAUUUUAAAGAAAAAAUUCAAUUAUAAUUAUAUUAUUUUUUCAUGUUUUUUAUUUUUAUUUUAUUAUUAUUAUUUGAAAUUUUAUCUUAUUUACUAUUUGAAUUUUGGUAUAAAUAUGUAUAAAUAAAUUUUUUUUUCUAAACUACUAUAUAUAGAUUUUGAAUCAUAUAACCCGAUUAACUUGAGUUUAACCUAAUUAAUCCAAAUUUAACCUAACCAACUCGAGUUUAACUCAUUUGUUGGUGCGACUUACUCCCCAUGAGGCAACUUUAUGAUUUUUCAAGUUAAAAGAGCUUCGGACCAAUUCGAAACAAAAAUAAAUAGAUACGUAAUUCCAAUGAAAGGAACCCAAGAACCAUAUUUUUCUCCAAUUUGAAUUUUGCUAAUGUUUUGAAUGAAUUCAAGAACAUAUUCAAAGAAAUUCUUACUGUCAAUAGAAUGAUUUGUGGAUUUGGAAUAGAUAAAAUAACUGAACCUAAUAAGACAACGAUUACAACCCAUGAAGUAAUAAGUACUUGGGCAUGAACUUGAAAACUUGAAAUUUUACCUGAAUUUAGAAAAAUGAGGUUAAAUUGAGUACCUUGAGUUAAAAGUCUAGUUGGAUUAAAUUAAGGUUGAUUGUUUCUUAAUUAAGAACCGGCUUUGGGCUUAAUUAUCAUAAUCUUACUUGUAUGCUUUUAUUAUUAUUGGAAACCCUUCUUAAAUCGUUUUAUUUGUAUUUUCAUUUAUCCCUAGUCCCAACCUUCAUUCAAAUUUAGGUUGACAAGUAUUUUCGAUCUCAAACCAUGGGAAUCCCUUUGAUUCAUUGCGUCACUAUUUGAUUAUCACAAUAUAUAUAUAUAUAUAUAUAUAUUAUUAGUUUGUGUGAAUUUUGGUGUUGUUUUUACUUAAAACAAUUCACUUUCAAAGAAGAAAACCUGUAAUAUUUUCCUAGAUUCCACUCUUAAGUAUAAAGUUUGCCUUUUAAAAAGACUAUUUGAUUUUUGACUUAAAAAUAGUUUGAGACUAAGCACUCUUUUUUAUUUUAUUAUUGAUCAAAAGAUUUUUAAACACUUAAUACUACGUUAGGUUGAUAAGAUAGAAUAAGAUAAGAUAUGUAUAUCGUAAAAUAUCAUAUCUCAUUUGAUAGGAAAUAUAUAUAAUAUGAUAUGAUAUUCUAAUAUAGCAUGUCAAAUGAGUUAUAUUAUGUUUAUAUUUAAUUUAUGAAAUAAAUAAAAAUAAUAAUAUGAAAUAUAUAUUAUUUUUAAUGUUUAAAAUUAAAAUUAUAUUAUAUUCCAAUAUUUUCUAUUUAAAAAAUUGAAAUUUAUCUUAUAUUUAACAAUAUUCAUUAUUAAAAUAUUUAAACUUUAUAAAUAUUUUUUUAUGUUAUGUUAUUCAAUAUAUAAAAAUAAUUUAUAUAUUAUAUAUUAAUAUAUGUUUAUAAUUUUUUUUAGUUUUAUUUUUUAACCAUAAAUUUAAUUUACAAUAAAAAAAUUAUUUUAUAAAAUGAGUAUAUAAAAAUAAAAUAAAAACUAAUUAAAAAAAAGUUUAUAAUAAUAUACAUAUCUCAUGACAUAAUAUGAAAUUAACAUAUCUCAUGUAAAACAAGUAAAAAUAAGAAGGUGGAUAAUAUAUCACACUACUUAUUCUAUCUUAUGUUUAGUUGAACAUAGGAUAAAAUAAGUGAUGGAAUAAUCUUAUCUCCAACCAAAUAUGAGAUAUGAUAUAAUAUCCGUUUUUUUAUCUUAUCUCAUAUUAUAUCUAAUCAACAAAACAUGACCUAUACUAUUAAAAAGAAAAAUUUUAAAUUUUUUUACCUCAAUUCUUUUUAUCAUUUUUCUUAUUUUUUUGAAAUUUGAAUAAAAGAUUCAAAAAGAAAUUUAUUAUAAACCCAAAAAAAAAAAAAAAAACCAUUGCAUCAGCUAGAAGGGAAACGUGGUCUCUUAUUUGUUGACACAAUUCCAUGAUUUGUGUCUAGGACUAUAGUCAUGUUUGAUUAGGAAUCUGCCUAUUCAACAUGACUAGCAUAACAUAAUCAUUUGAGCUAUUGAGAUAAGUUGGGUCAAAACUCAUUAGAAAACAUAAUUUAACUAUAAACCAAAGACUUACUUUUACAAGACUAAUCGUUUGAAUCAUAUGUGUGUGUGGGCAAGACGAGGAGUGGCCGGGAAAAAGGGUGCCUAGGUAUUGACAAUAAUGGUUGGAUUAGGAAAGGAGGCGGAGCGGGACAUUACUAUUGCCAUCCGAUUAACUUUGUACGACCAGCAGAGGAGUAUCCAGGUAAGUGGGGCCAGAUCCGAGUCAAAAGAAGGAUAAAGAAAAACGUACAAUAAUUAUGACCCAUGACCAUCAUCAAUGAUAUAAUUUUGUCACAAGGGAAAGAAAAUUACUUUUUCUAAAUCCUUCUCUCUAUUUUAAGAAAAGCUUUAAACAUUUUUCAUCUUUUCAUUAAUUUUUUGAGUUUGCCUUUAGUUAUUACUAAAAAAAAAAAAUCACUUUUACUAUGUAUUUUCCUUUCCUCUUCGAUAGGUUAAAUUUGUGUCUAUAAGAGGAUUUAUACUUGGACUGGGGAUCUUAGUAGAUAUUUGAAUGAUUUUGAACUCUUUUUAACCCUAGUUGGAAGCAGUAUAAAUAGAUUGGAUUAUUUUAGAUAUGGUUUAAUUGCGAAGAGUCCGGGGUGAUAUUCUGUGUUGGAGGAGAGUUCAUUAAAAUGGAGGCCCAAGUUCGUUGCAGUAGAAGCACUAAAACCAUGUCGACAACCUGGCUUUUAAGGUUAUUUUGUACGUUGUUGGCUGUAUCGUAUUCGUAUCCCGAGUUUGGUAGGGCAUUAGAAGCACCCAAGGACAUCUUUAUUCUGGCAGGUCAAAGCAACAUGGCCGGUAGAGGAGGUGUUCGCCAUGGCAAGUGGGAUGGGAACGUGCCACCAGAGUGCAGACCUAACCCAUCCAUCCUCCGACUCAAUCCUCAACUCCAAUGGGAAGAGGCACACGAGCCGCUUCACACAGGCAUCGGCCCUCCAAAGACUCAAGGGGUGGGACCCGGCUUGGCGUUUGCCAAUGAGAUCCGAGCCAAAGGUUCCAUGGUUGGGGUUGUGGGACUGGUGCCUUGUGCGGUUGGGGGAACUAAAAUAAGUGCAUGGGCGCGUGGGACGACGCUGUACAAUGAAUUGGUGAGACGAACGAAGGCCUCCGUGAGUGGAGGAGGACAGCUCCGAGCCAUUCUGUGGUAUCAAGGAGAGAGUGAUACAGUGAGAUCUGAAGAUGCAGAGGCGUACAAGGGCAACUUGGAAAAGCUUAUCAUAGACUUGCGCUCUGAUCUUAGUCACCCCACUCUCCUCUUCAUCCAGGUCUCUCCCUACUUUCCUUAUUUCGUUUAAUUCACAGGUUUUAAUUUUUACAUAUUUAAGUUUAUUGAUAUCCUAAACAUAAAUUGAUUAUUAAUUAUAUAAUAUUAGGAUUGAUUUCAAUGAGAGCAAUGAGGCUCAGUAUAAACAUACUAAGCCACUAAUAUUAAAUUUAGUAAGUUAAAACACCUAUAUUUUAUAUAUAAAUUUUAUUUUUUUAAAGAAUAAAACUUAAUUUUAAAGAAUUUUUAAAUACUCUUAUCAUAUAUAUUUUUAUUUAAAAUAUUUCUAAAAAAUAAAUCUGAUAAAUAAAAUAAAAUUAUAAGAGUGUUAAUUAAAAAAAUUUGAAACCAAUAAUAAUUGAGUACAUUUACAUCAACCCUAGGGAGUCUCGAUGAAAUUAACCUAUAUAUAGAAAAAAGAUAAUUUGAUUAUUAUAAUCAAAUGACUUGAAUUAUUAAAUAAAUAAAAAUUUAAUGUUUGUGCUAAAAUCUAAUAACUAAUCAUGAUUUGAUUCUAGCACCAAUAUAAUAAGGUUAGGAUGAAUUGUAUUUCAAAAAUCUUUGGUUAUAAAUCUUAGAUCAAUUAAUUACAUAAUUGCCCUAAUCAUUUAGGUGGGACAAUGUCACAAUAGUUAUAAUUUAUAAUUAUAAUAACUAUUAAAUGGUAUAAAAUUACCUUUUAAUAUUAUUUAUACUCUAUAUAUGUUCAUAACUUUAAAUAACAUUUAAAAGGCUAACUUGUGAUCAAAAAACAAAACAAAACAGGAACUCUUCUAUUAUAGGCGGACUGAGAUUUUUGUUAGGGGGUAAGAGAAAAAUAUUAUAUUAAAGUCAUCAUUUAUGAAUUGUAAGAUAAGUAGUGGUAUUAAUUAUUAUUAUUAAAAAAUUAAAUAAUUUUAAAUAUUAAAGUAAACAAUUAUAUCUUUUGGUCUCAUUGUCUUACCAUUUAAUCUUAUUUAUUUAUAUUUUAAUUUCAUUCUUUGUGCAGAUUUAAAGUUUUUUCAUUAUAUUAAUAGUUGAUUAUAUUCUUGAGGCCAAACAAAAAUAUAAAUAAUUACUAAGAAUUUAACCAUUUUUUUUUAUGCGGUUAAGCUAAUCAUAAAAAAUAAGUAUAAGAAAGAAAAAAAUUGAAUGAACUAAAAAUAAUAAGUACCAAUAUUAAAUAAGAUUUUAUUUAUUUUUUAAAUUUUAAUUCAAUUAUAAUAUAUUAUUAGUAAUUAAUAGUACAUAUCAGUUUUUUGGUAGCAAUAUUUGGUUACCGUUAUUUUUUUAUUUAAAAAUUUUUAAAAUUAAAUUUAUACCCCCGAGUUUUGGUUCCGCCUGUGCUUCAUAUACUUUUACUAUAAAUAACCAUAGUAAUUAAUUCUAGAGUAGACAACACAUUAAUUUAAAAAUAAUAACUUUAUGAAUUUUAAUGGAUGGUAUAAAACCAAUUUUAAGAUUUAAGUAUUGCCCUUACAGACAUUCAGGUCAAUUAUGCUCAUCAGAAUUAUAGUCCAAUUGAUAAAGAUUUUGAGAAAUGUUUCUAAUAUUUCUAAUAUUUAAAAAAUAAAAAACUUCAAAUAUAAAAAAAAAUUAAAAACAUUUUUUAAAAUCAUUGUCAAACAUAUUUUUAUUGUUGUAAUGUCCGUAUUUAUAAUGCUGAUUUUGUCUAUAAAGUUAUAGAAAGAAAUGAUUUAGACUCCAUGGUAAACCAAAUGCAACCUUAAUUUCUUAUUUUAAGCCUUACAGUAUGUAGCCUGAAACUUACGCCAGAAAAUUAAUUUUCCAUUUUGGAUCAAGGCAUUGAGGUGCAUCUGCCUUGAUUUUGAUCAUGCAAUAAAAUUGAUGGACUGUGGGAAUGGGUGGACAGGUGGCACUUGGAUCGGGGGAAGGCAAAUUUAUAGAGACAGUGAGGAGAGGUCAGCUGGGAAUCAGGUUACCAAAUGUGAAGUGCGUAGACGCCAAGGGACUGAGGCUUGAACCAGAUAAACUUCACCUCACUACAAUUGCUCAGAUCCACCUCGCUCAGAAGUUGGCUGCUGCCUUUCUUUCUGGUGAUCAAUCAUGAAUCAUGAGGAGUCACAACCCUUUUAAUCUAAAUUAGUUAUAGACAUUUACCAUAUUACAGCAAUUAAUAAAGACGCUUUUGCAAAUUAGAUAUUGAAUAUCAGCUUGUUUUGCCCUCCACUGAGACUUGUUCUACCCUAUACAUGAACUCCUGAACUUACCCCCUUUUAAGCGGCUUAAAAGUGGGCAAGUUCAGGAUAAAGAAACAAAUAUUUUGUAAACAGUGAUUUAUUGUUCGUAUUUCUUUUCUCCCAACAUACCUUUUCCACAAGGUUUACAAAGGAGUCAUGAAUAUGAAAUGUUACUUUAACCCUUUGCAUGUAUCAGAACAAAAUUUACAAGAAGAUUAAAACACAAAAGAUAAGGUUUUGUUUUGGUAAUUGUUUUGUUUUACAAAAAUAAAAAUAAAUAAAGUGUUUUAAAAAAUAUUUUUAAAAUUGUUUUGAGUUAUGUGAAAUCAAGGUUUGACUAAUCUUGAUUUUUAUGAUAACAAAAUAAGGUAUGAUACUAAUGAUACAUUUCAAGUCAAGUAAAAUAAUUUCCAAAAUGACAAUUAUAUGGACCAAGUUAAGUAAAAGGAAAUCAACAAAGAAGAUGAAACCUCAAAUAAAAGAGCCUUCAAAGCAUUUUAUAGGAUUUCUUCUAUGAUUGUUGGCAUACAAGGUUUUUCUAUAUUUUAUUUUAUUUUUUUUACUAAAAAUUAUUUAAGAGUAUUUUGUUUAAAAUCUUUUAUAAUUAGAUGAUUUUUUAUUCUCAACUAAAACCUUGUACUAAAUACUUUUUAAAACUUGUUUAAAAGGUUCUGAGUUAAAAAAGAUAGUUGUUGAGCCAAAAAAUGUCUAGUUGGUUAAUAGUGAAUUGAACUAAUUUGACCAAUUGGGAAAUCGGUCAAAGAGUGCAAAAUUUUCUCUCUUCUAAAAGGGUUGUCUUUUUGGUCGAGUAAAACCCUUUCCCGGUCGAGGGUAUCCCUUUCCUAGUCAAGGUCCAGUUGAACCUUAAUGGUCACCUACAAAAGCAUUAAAUAUCCAAGGACUAGUCAACCAAUCAAUCAAAGCUUGAUCGAAAAAAGCCUUUAAUAUGAAUAACGACUAGUUUAGGUUUCUCUUCCAUAUUUAAAGACUUCAAUCUUCAUUAUUUUAAAAGAGUUUAACAUUCUUAAAUCUUUUUUGAAUAUAUUUGAGUUUUGGGGAAAUGUUUUUUAAUGUACCUUGUUUUAAAACUUGCAUAUCAUUAUUAGUGUACCAUUUAAUUCUAAUUUGUCUUGUAUCAUUUGAGCUUAAAUUUUGUACUAAGAUUUUGAGAAAAUAUUUCCUAUUUUUAUUUAUAAAUCUUUGAAAAAAAAAUGUAAAGUAUCACUUAAAGAUUCUCAAAUAUGGAAUAUUACUUGAAAUAUUGUUCAAGAGUAAAGUAUCUCGCAAAGAUUAUAAAUGGUGUUUUAAGCUGAAAGUCGGUUGAUUGGAAUCAUAAUCCAAUUAUAUUACUUGAAGGUUUAGUUUGAAAGUUUUAGAUUAGUAAAACCUUAAGCUUGAGAUUGAAGUUAGAGGAAAGUAAAUGUAAGUCGAGUUGCACCAAACUAUCAUAAAAAUAUUGUAUUUGUAUUCUCUCUUUCGUAAUCUCUUUAAUUUACAUGUAGUUAUUUUUCAUUAUAUCUAUUAUAUAUUUACAUAUAAUUCUUUCUUAUAUUCAUAUAGUUUAUUUUUAUGAAAUUAAACCAUCACAUAUUGUUGUUAUACUGAUUUUUUUUAUCUAACCUGUUCUAAAAUUUUUCCUUAGUAUUUAUACAUUUUCUUAAUACACGUGUCAUCUUCUCAAUAGUCUAGAUCAAAACAGUUUACAACAAAAAAUACUGUCUUAAUUCUUGUAAUUGAAUUCAUGUCGAGAUAAUUUUCUAUGUGUUUUUAUGAACAUAGAUAAAUUUUUCCUUUUUCUAAAAAAAAAAGAGUAAUGCUGGAAUGAUUUUAUCUUUUUAUGCUGCAACACCUUUUAAGGAAUGCACUUUGAUUUUUCCUUUCUUUUAUGGAAAUCACAAGUCUUUUUAAAUAAAAAUAUAUAAAAAAACAAUUAUUUAACCAAACUUUGGAAUAAAAAAAAGGAAAAUCCAAAUUAAAAUGAUAAUAAUAUUUUCAAAAAAUUUAAUUAUUUGUUACGGUCAUUUGCAUGAUUUUAAUGAUGUGAAACAACUGCGGAAAGUAGGAAAGCAUAACACAUGCAUUUCAUUAUUUUAUUUCUUAAAGCAAAAAAACAUUUUUUAUAUUUGAAUUUUGAAAUGGAGUUUUGUUACCACAAACAAUAAGUCAAUAACAACUAUGUGGGAAGAAUAUUUUUUGAGAUUGGAUUUGUGGAAUGUGUUUUUGACUUUUUGUAUAGAAUUAUUUUUGAAAAUCCGAUUUUUUUAGUUUAGGGGCGUGUCACAUUUUUUUAAUUAAUCAAGACGCACCGUAAAGCCAGGAAAUAUCACGUGUCAUUCUAAUAGUUCCUCCAAUCCUGGAGACUGCGGGGAGUGCUAAGAAGUGGAAAUGGCGGCUUCUUGUUCCACCAAUCUCAUCAGCUUCCCACCAUCUCUGAGAAAGUCAACAUCGCCGUCCUAUUCUCUCUCAUGGCAAGCAUCUCUCCCUUCCACCGUCUCCUUCGCCGUCGGCCGUCGGGUCUCUUCCAGAACAACCAAGUCGUUGGUGGUGGUUGUGACGGCCAUGAUGGAAGCAAAGCCCACGGUCCUCGUCGCAGAGAAGCUCGGAGAAGCGGGUCUCGAACUCCUCAAGGGCUUCGCCAACGUUGACUGCUCUUAUAAUAUGAGCCCCGAGGAGCUUUGUACCAAGAUCUCACUGUGCGACGCCUUAAUCGUCAGGAGCGGCACUAAGGUUACUCGUGAGGUGUUCGAGUCCGCCGGCCGUCGCCUCAAGGUUGUCGGACGGGCUGGCGUUGGUAUUGAUAACGUUGACCUUUCGGCCGCCACGGAGCAUGGAUGUCUUGUUGUUAAUGCCCCAACAGCUAAUACUAUUGCGGCUGCUGAGCAUGGGGUUGCUCUUCUAACUGCUAUGGCGCGUAACAUCGCCCAAGCGGACGCUUCUGUCAAAGCCGGUCUGUGAUCUCCCUUUAAGAUAUUUACGGCAUUUUCUUUUAUUCGGACAUUUUUUCGAGCAGUUCGCCUACGUUGGUUAUUAACUCUGUUGUGGUCGUCUUUUUUUUAGCAAUUCAUGAUAUAUCUUAUCCAUUAUGUUGUACGGUCAAGAAAAACUCUAAACCUGAUUGCUAGUUUAUGAUUAUUUGGCUGUAAUUUAUAGAGCUCGAAUUGGGAAGGUGAUUAGUGAUCUCAAAUCUUGUAAUUACAGGGUGUGUGGAAUAUUGAUUGUCUGUUUUCUGUACAAUGAUAUAUAAUAAAUUUCCAGUUUUAAAAUAUGAAUUUAAUCAGCCUUGAACAGAAUGAAAUAAUGGGCAGUGGUGUGACAUUGGAAUAACUUAGAAGAGCUAUUCAGGGAGGGAGGGGUGGGCGGGGUGGUGGUAUCCACAAUUUCUGCUAUCACAAUUCAAAAUAAGUGCACUGACUUGAAGCCAGGUCUGUCUCUCACUUUCAGUAAAUCAUUCAUGCUAGGCACCUAAUAUUUGUUCAUAUUGGUUGGAUGCUUACCAUCUGACUCAGCCUAUUAUUUUUUUUUAAGAAAAUCCUGUUGGGACUUCAGCUUUAUGUUGUUUGCAAUGAUUGAAGCCCUUAUUAGUGUAGUGGGCUUUUGAUCCGUGCAGGGAAGUGGGAAAGGAGUAAGUAUGUAGGUGUGUCACUUGUUGGAAAAACCCUUGCUGUGAUGGGAUUUGGAAAGGUUGGAUCAGAAGUUGCUCGGCGAGCUAAGGGGCUUGGCAUGCAUGUGAUUGCACAUGAUCCAUAUGCCCCAGCAGACAGAGCCCGGGCAAUUGGUGUGAAUUUAGUGACCUUUGAAGAAGCCAUAUCAACUGCAGAUUUUAUUUCAUUGCACAUGCCUCUCACUCCUGCUACAUCCAAGAUUCUCAAUGAUGAGUCCUUUUCAAGGAUGAAGAAAGGAGUUCGGAUAGUCAAUGUCGCUCGUGGUGGUGUGAUUGAUGAGGAAGCUCUAAUAAGGGCCUUGGAUUCAGGGAUUGUCGCUCAGGUUCUUAUUUUUUUGUAAUCAAUAACACUUUAUUAAUACAACCCUGGAGGCAAGUAGUGAUAAUUUCCAUUUCUUACAGGCAGCGCUUGAUGUGUUCACUGAAGAACCUCCACCAAAAGAUAGUAAGUUGGUGCAGCAUGAAAAUGUGACUGUUACUCCACAUCUUGGUGCCAGCACAACGGAGGCACAGGUGGGUUGGUCUACCUCUGCUUGUCUAUAGUCAUGCCUCAUUUACUUAUCUUUUCUAGUUUUCUAGUGUUACAAUGCCGGCUUGUUGCAAUUAGGAAGGAGUGGCCAUUGAAAUAGCUGAAGCUGUUGUUGGGGCUCUAAAAGGGGAGCUUGCUGCUACUGCAGUAAAUGCACCCAUGGUUCCUGCUGAGGUAUUUUCUUAAUUCAUCCUUCGUUACUGUGUCCUGCAGCAUCUUCUGUUGGGUAGUGAAUGUUUGAAUGCUAAUCUGAUUCCACAUGUAAUAAUUUAUUCAUGAUAUUGAGUUGGGAAACAUUCAUAUACCCUGAAUAAUAGCUAGCAGAAAGUUUUCAACUCCCUUUAUGUGAAUUCAGUUCCCUUCUACAUUUGAUUGUCAUGACGAUAUUUGUAUGUAUUAAAAUCCCUUUACGCAUGUAUAGUCUUCAAAUGUUAUGUUGGACAAACUCAAAAGGUUUUCUUUUAUUACACAGGUUUUAUCCGCACUUGCGCCAUUUGUUGUUCUGGCAGAGAAGCUUGGCCGCCUGGCUGUGCAACUGGUUGCAGGUGGAAGUGGUGUGAGAUCAGUGAAGGUGACAUAUGCCUCUUCCCGGGGUCCAGAUGAUCUUGACACUCGCUUGUUGCGUGCUAUGGUCACCAAGGGUCUAAUUGAGCCUAUUUCCAGCGUUUUUGUGAACUUGGUGAAUGCUGACUUCACUGCCAAGCAGAGAGGACUGAGGAUAACAGAAGAAAGAGUGGUGCUAGAUGGCUCACCGGAGAACCCGCUUGAGUUUAUCCAGGUACAAAUUGCUAACGUGGAGUCGAAAUUUGCCAGUGCUAUCUCGGAGUCUGGUGAGAUUAAAGUGGAAGGAAGGGUGAAAGAUGGGAAACCUCAUCUGACCAAAGUUGGAUCAUUUGGGGUGGAUGUGAGUCUGGAAGGGAGCCUCAUUCUGUUGAGGCAUGUUGAUCAACCUGGUAUAAUUGGAAAGGUGGGAAGCAUCCUGGGUGAGGAGAACGUCAAUGUGAGUUUCAUGAGUGUUGGGAGGACUGCACCACGAAAACAGGCUGUAAUGACAAUUGGUGUAGAUGAGGAGCCCAGCAGGGAAGCAUUAACAAGAAUUGGGAAUCUACCAGCCAUUGAAGAGUUUGUUUUCCUCGAGUUGUAGAACAAGCUUGAAUUUGCUAUCCAAAUUUCUGAGACGUUGCUUAAUUACUGUUCAAAAUUUCCCAUGUUGUGUGAAGAUUUUUUAUUUUUUCCCCCUUUUCGGUGAGUAUUAAAAUGGAUGCCUUUCAUCCAGUUUUAUCCACUUCCGCAUUGACUUGUAACUUGGAACCAUUAAUUUGUGAUAGCUUUAAUUAGCUUCCUGAAUGCCCAUUACGUUUUAGUAAAAGAGCUGUAUUUUCCAAUUACUCCAGCUUAUAUAUUGAAACUAAAACAAUUUAUGCAAAAAGAGCAGCAGGUCAGAAAGUGAACAUGAAUAUAAUGAAGUAUUUAUUAGAAAAACCACGAAUAAGAACGCGUAUAAAUGAGAUAUCAUCCAGGUGUCCUCUUGUUUGAGAUGCCAGGCCAUGAUGCAGCCAGGGUUUGCCACGACAUACACCACCCGUCCAUAUCCAGCUGAUGGCUCCACCUAUAUUUGCCAGGAUUCAUAUGCACGCUUGAUGAGAGAAAGAUCAGGAGACCCGCAUCCAUCAGUGGCACCGCAAGAAUCAACCAUGUACACUUCAAAAGUAUUGGGAUUGAUCCAUCUUUGUGCUGUUCCUUUUGUUUAUCUAUUUCAUUAAUUAUUUCGUAUUUCUUUUUUCUUUAAAAUGAAUUUUGGUGGAAAAUGCUUGCAGGGAACUGAAGAGGUAAACCUAGAAGGAGCAGCGGAGAUAAAGGUGGAGACGGUAGAUCACCAGUCACCAGCAGGCAAGGACCAAGCACCGAAGCAGGAGCACGUGCAGGUGAUUCACGAGCCUCAUGAUGAUGGAGGUUCUGGCACCGGCGCUGGAGGAAGCGUCUUAGCAAGUGCAUCUGCUGUAGUAGCGCACGCUUUCCAAUCAGCAAAAGAUGCCAUCUCCGGUAACAAAUCCACGAAAUGACUGGUAUUCUCGUGUUACCUCAACACGUUUGUUUCACCGAACACUUGAAAUUAAAAUAAAGUUUAACAUUAAGGCCAUGUUCAAUCCAUGAUGCAGAUCUAUUGAGGAUCACUGUUUUGGGAAAAUAGCACUCUUAUUCCUUCCGCAAUAAAAUGGGGUUUUUCUUAAUUGAAUUGCAUUUUUUUUUUCCUCCUGUUUAAUGAGAAGUUUGUGUGAUUCUUUAUUCUUAAAAAAGGGGAGUUCAGAUUUCUCUAAUGGCUGAAAUUAAAAUUUUAAGGCCAUAGAAUCGCUUUCAUGUUGCGAUUUCACCACCAAGCAUGCUACUCCAGCAUAUAGAAAAGGGGAUUUUAAAUUGAGUAAAGGUAAGCAAUAAUUCCUAUGUGAACAAAGAAAUGACCUUCAAAGCAGAGCCCUCGAAUCCCACUGUACCGUGAUUUGAGUCAUUUGACUUCAACAAAAGCUGAGUGCGCAUGCUUUAUGGACAGAAGUCAGUACUAGCUUUGCUUCUCUUCAUGUAUCCAGAGAUGGUUCCCACGUGCCUAUUCUCAUUGAUUAAUCCCUAUUUCGUUAGCUUAGUGAGGAUCCUGUUCAAUAUAGUUAUUUCAAAAUGAUUUAGUUUUUCAUUCCCAUUAGAUAUUUCAUAAGCAAGAUUUAUACAUUUUUAAAUUACAACUAAUAUUAACAAUUAAUCAAAGAAAAAUAAGAAUAAAAUAAUAGUAUUAUAUUUUCCAUAUCUUACCCUAUCAAAAAAAAGAAAAAAAAAGAAAAAAGAUGAUUCUUUUCUUAUUGUUUUAUUUUUAAAAUAGAAAUUUAUAAGUUAAAUAUAAGAAUUUCUAUAAAAGUAAAUAAACAAAAACUUAGACGCUAUUUUCGAAAACAAUUUUUAAAAAAACAGUUUUUUAGAAUAAUUGUAAAUAAAUUAUUUUUAAAAUAUAAACCAUAAACCAUACUCUGCCUUUUGUUCCUUUUUUGGGGGGUUAGAAUAUUUAUCUAUUAUUCUUUAUAUGAAUUCUGAUAUUUUAUAUAAUAAAAAAAUUAUUAUUAACAAAAUAAAAAUAUAUCCUAACAUGCACUAAACUUUUUUAUUUCAAUGUCAUGAAAUUAAAUUAUUUCAUUUGGCUUCAAAUACAUGCGGUAAAAGAAUUACCUGUUGCCCUUUUGUGCUGCCAUUGCCAGUGUGGAAGUCCUCCACUUCCCUUAAUCAGCUUGUUGAGGAACGUGUUUGACUAUAUAGGGCAGCACAUGGAAAGCAGGGUAAGUACGUUGCAGCAUUGAAACUCAUCACAUUAAUUUUCAAUGGCAGCCGCUGAAAGAGCAGCGAAAAAAUAAUGUAUGUCUUGUCACUUGUGUUAUCAAACAUAACAUCAUAACGCAUGCUUUGCAUAUGUUUCUGUAAAGGAAAUCCACUGAGGUGUCAGAAAUUCGAAGGGAAAGUGAAGUAGAGUGAGAAGUGAAAAAAGUAGCGAAAGUGAGAAUUUAAGAGAGUAGGAAAAUUUUCUUACCCAUUUUUUAAUUGUUUUCCUUGCCUCUCAUCUUCAGGGAAAUGGAUUUGAUUUAUGUUGAUUUCAUCUCGACAAAUUAAGAUCAUCAAAUCAAUUUUAAAAUACUCGAUAUUGGGAAGCUCAAUUCCAUCAUCGAGAUACAAUAACUCGAUGACACCUUUAAGAGGAUGUCGAAAAUCUUUUGAUCACAAGACUAUGGGAGAGGAAACAUCUUUCUGACGAGUAAUGAAACAAGGUAACACGGGAAUAUAUAUCCAGAGAAAGAAGGCUUAAUACUCAAUUAACUCACUGUCAUGUCAUAGCAAAGCUAUAUUAUAAGUAAUCCAUAUAGAUUUUAUAAAAUUAAAUAAUCCCGGCAUGGUAUAUUCUCUAAUAUAAUUUGAAAAUGGAAUUUGUAUUAUAUAUGUUUAUACAUAUUAUAAAUUGAAAUUAUAUACUUUCAUAAUUCAUGGAAAUAUUAUUGAAAAUGGAAAUUAAAGUUCUUCAUAACAAUUUUAUAAUUGAAAUUAUAAGUGGGAAGCCCAUAUGUUGCCAUCCAAUGAAUAUUUUUUGGACAUAGUCGAUGCUGGAAGCUUGUUCCAAUGAAAUUAUAAAAGAGGACAGUGGAUGGAGCCCACGGCAUUGCCCAGGGAAACCAACUUCUGUGACAUCAGACAAAUUAAAUAUGCCACAGGCGCUACGAAUUCAAUCAAUUUUCAUGGGUCCGCACAAACUCCCCCUUCCUGAAACACCUGAUAUUUGGUCAACACAAGAGCGACAAGAUUGGUAAUGCCUUUCACUUGAAACAACCAUCAGGCCUUGGUACCACGAAAAUUGGGCGAUUUUCGAUUUUUUCAAUUUAUUUGAUGUGGUUUAAUACCUAAUAUUACACCUUAUUGAGAUGAAAUUAAGCAUCUUCAUUGAUCGAACCACAGCGUAAGCUUAUUCCCAGAUACCAACUUCCAUGAACCCAUCUUCAGUGGCACAGCCCCUAAACAUUCCAGUGGUGUUAAACCCGUAGGCAACCUCACCAUUUCUUGAAACCGCAAUCAUUCCAGCCAUCCCUUCAUCAAGCCUCUCUUUGAUGACAAAGUCCACAGCCUCUUGGAGGCCUAAGCCCUUGUAUUCCAUCACAGCCGCCACAUCACGAGACAGGGUUCCGCGAAUAAUGGCCUCUCCUUCUCCAGUGCAAGACACACCACAAAGUUCACCGGCGUAGGUCCCCGCCCCGAUCAAAGGCGAGUCACCGAUCCGACCGCUCAUUUUAUUCAUGAGGCCACCGGUGGAAGUUCCCGCAGCGCAUCGCCCUUGUCCGUCCACUACAACGCACCCCACCGUUUCUGGCGCAUAGACGCUGAUAGGAAGACCAUUCAUCUGCAACGCGGCUUCCACAGAUGCUGCACCCGCGCUGCAUGUCUCCAAUCCAACGGUUGGGAUCCUGUAAUCGAACUGAUCCAGCACCACACAGGCUUAAGAUUUACUGCUUCACCCACAUAGAUCAUAGAUAUGUACAUAAUGAUGAGAUCCGACGUACCAGGAUGCUGUUGGCUUCUUUCGCUAAUUUCAACAUCCCCACGUUUUCCUCCGUGAUAAAGUAUUGGUUAUCCACCAGCGCCACACCCUAAAAAACCCACUGUCAAUAUAUCACAACGCGUGUGCACUAAUUUGCACACAUGUCCAUAGGUGUGCUAAGGCAGCUCUCUUUUCAGGCCAAGUUGGAAGAAAAUGCCAAAAUGGGAAACUCACCUGUCGCCGGGCAAAUUCCUCAGCGCCAGCGAAAGCCAUGUAGGAAUGGGGAGACUUGUCCAUGACAAGGCGGGCCAGUGAUAUGGGGUUCUUCACCGUAGUCAGACCCGAUACGGCUCCGCAUCUCCUUUUGGGGCCGUCCAUGAUGCUGGCUUCCAUCUCCACCGUUCCAUUUUCAGUCAGGGCUGACCCACGCCCUGAGUUAAACAGGGGGUCACUCUCCAGUUCUCGCACCUGUCACACGACACAUCAAAACACAAGAUGAACACCUAUAUCUUCCAUUCUGGUUCUCAAUUCCAGACGUCGUUUGACAAUGGCCAAAUUAAUUCCUUUAUGCGUUGUUUUUUUGGUCCGAGAGAUAACGUAAAUGGAAAACGCAGAAUAACAAGGUGAAAAAGAAAAACCUACAACUAGUUCGACGACAUCUAUGGCAGGAAGAGAGGAGCGAAGAGCAGAGAUGCCGAGAUUGAGACAGCGAGUGAGGAGUUGUUUUGCUUCCUCUUGACGCUGGGGUGGGAGAUUUGGGUCAACACCAGCACCUCCAUGGACCGCAAUUGCCCAGCCACCCAUGACUCUCUGCCUCGCUCUCUUGCUCCCUAACUCUUUAAUUUGUCUCGGUUUGUGUGUACCCUCGAGGGAGUUGGCUAUUUAUAGGCGCCUCCGGAACCCAAAUAUCAUUGAGCUGGAUUUUAAUAGUCAAGUGGAUUCCAAUAUUCCAUCUGGAGCUGCCCACUUGAUGCGAAAGGUUUUACCGAAGGCAACGUUCCGUGUUUCAAUUUAACGUUAUUUCCACCGGACUCCCCUGUGUCACACUGUCACUGAAUGCCGUCCUAUACACAGAUUCUAAUAUCAUGUGUCAGAUGACAAAAUUACUCAUAUUUGCACGGAAUUCAAAACAAAAAGAUAUGUCCUCUACAUCUCAAUUGCUUUGAACAUCACACAGACAGAUAUAGCCGCAACUCUUAAACUAGUUUAGUUUUUUACCCCUCUUCCUCCAACAAAUUUUUUAUUUUUAUUUGUCCCUACGUUCACCGUUAGACGAAAAAAAAAAAACAAAAGGAACAAAUCCCACAAAACAUUUAAAGAAAAGGCCAUUAGCAUCCAAUUAUUAAAAUCAUUAUUUUUUUCAUAUCUUUUAUUAAAUUUACUUCUAUUUUUAAUUAUAAAAAAAUAGCGUUAAAUGGUAUUUUAUUUAAUUGAAUAAAAAAAUGGCAUGACUAAAUUUCCACCAAAAUUUAGGAAAUUCCAUUUUAAUUAUAAUAAUAUUUUAUUUAAUAAUGAUGAAUAAUAAAAUAUAAUAUCAUUUUGACAUGUAUGAAUAAUAAGGGAAUUAUGAGAGGAUAUCUCUGGAUGCUUUUUUUUUUCUUAAUUCAUAAAAUUUAAAUGUUUAUGUAAUUUAGAUUUUGAUAUCCUUACGAUACAUGAAAUGAAUAUUAGCAUUAUUUAGCAACUUAAACUAGCCACCAAUCUUAUGUUGAUUCAAAAGUAGCUCUUAUUCCUCCAAGAGAAGAAAUGGCACCAACAUCGAUCACUAAAGCACUAUUUCUAAUCUUGAUCUGUAUUUACUUGAAAGAUGCUACAAAUCUCCAUCAAAUGUGAUUAUUUAUUUAUGAUUGAAUAAAAGCGCUAACAUAUAAUCAUUUUCUUGUUGAGUGUACUUCUAUUUUUUUACUCAAGUUUUGAUAGUCGAGUGCUUUGGCAGCAUGAAAGUAAAAUAUUUUUAGAGUGAUGCUUCCCAUUAAUUACCAAUUGAUAAACUGUAUAAUUGGUGCAUAGGGUUGAUUUGAUUUUACUCUUUUUGUCUUGAGAAUGAAUAUUUGCUUAUUUGAAAGUAAUAUUAAAGGAAAAAAAAUUAAUUGUAAAAAAAUAUUAAAGAAAAAUAAAAAUAAAAUAUUAAAAGAUUUUUUUUUUUUUUUAAAGAAAAAUUGGAGAGAAUAUCCCCUUACUAAAAAUUGUGGUUCUAUUUCUUUAAUAUGUUUUCUCUUUUCAUUUAAAAAAAAUAAGAAAAGAAAAGGUGGAAAUAUCAUUUUGGUAUUUUCAUAAUUUUCUUUAAAAAAUAAUAAAAUAUGUUUUUGGAAAAAAAUGACAAGAAUACGAAUAUUAUAAAUAUAAAAGGAAUAUGCAUAAGAAUCAAAUCAACUUAAUAUAAGUAUUUAUUGUAUUUAUUACUAAUGGUUAUAAUUUUAUAUUAGAAACUAAUUGGUUAUAAUAGAUUGAUUGUAAGUAUAUUAGAACAAUUUAUUACGAUAUUUUAAAAUCACAAAUUUUAAUUUAUUUUCUCAACCUUUGUGUUGACUAACCAAAGAAAAAAUUUAUAUAUAUAUAUAUAUAUAUAUAAUUUUCUUUCCAUCAAAUUAUCUAAAUAAAUUAUAAGACUGUAGUAACAACCUUUUAGAUAAUAUUUAUAAAAUUUGAAUUUAGUUACAAGCAUGAAAGGAAAAGAAAGAAAGUCGUUCACAUUUUUUAUUUUAUUUCUCAUUAUAAAACAGAUAUAAAUUCUUUAUAAUGUAUUUCUAUUCAAAAAAGUUGAAAUGAUGUAACUAAACAUAGUACUUCCAUACAACACAUACUUUCAAAUGAAAAUACCCAUAAAUUAAUAUUAUGUCUAAUUUCAUGAAAGUAUUAAAGAAAGAUAUAAACAUUAAAAUAAAUAAAUAAAAUUUAUCGUGUGUGCCUUUAUAUAUAUAGGGAAGCAAUUUCUUUUUAUGUGGAAAAUAUAAAAUAUUUAAAUACAUUUAAAAUUAAUAAAAUUAAUAUAUUUUAAAAUUAUUUAAUAUUUAUAUAAAAAAUGAUAAAAUAAAUUAAAUUAGUUUUAAAAAACAUAUAAUAUUACUUUACUAUCGAGUGUUAUAUUCUACUUGAGAACCAAACAUAUUACGAAGAUAUACUAUUAUUAAUUUAUAUUUAUAAUGAUAUUAAUUAAUAUUUACUUAAAAUAAGAAAGUUAAAGUUGACAAUUGUUUUGAGAAUAAUCUCAUAUUAUUUUAAAUAGAAAGAUAAAAAAAAUUAUAUUUGAUAAUUAUUAUUAUUUUUGUUUUUAUAUUUUUAAAAACAGAAAAUAUGAUAUUUUUAUAUAACAUCUUUUAAUUAAAUUAUUUUAAUCAAUAUAUAAAUAUAUAAAAUGAUUAAAAAUAAAUAUUAAAUUUAUUUUAAUGUAUAUUUAAAAAUAUUUAAAAUAGAUUUAAAAUAUUUUAGAUUUUAAAUAAACUUUUAUUUAAUAAAAUAUGAAAAAACAAUUUUUAAAAAGUGUUUCCAAAACUUUUUUUUAGAACUAUUUUAGAAAAUGGUUUGCAAGGCUAUAAACUAUGUUUUAGCGCCCAUGAAUCCUCACGUUCAAGCAUCUUGGUAAAGCCAUCGGCCCUGAAUAUUCCCACGUGGGCCACACCUAGUCAAAUAAUGCGCAAAAGGGUUAAUAAAUAAGGGAAAAUUGUGUUUAUAGGCCAUUAUAUGAAAAAUAUAUAGGUUUGGAACCCAUAUAAUUGAAAUAUGGGUUUUACCUGUUAAUAACAAAAAUAUUAUUGGUUUUAUGCACUAUUUACUGUUAAUAUUCAUAUUUUCGAAAUUACCCUUUUUUUUUUUUUUUUUCCCUCUCUGUGUCUCCCCCUCCUCUGCCGCUCAACCCCCCUCUCCCCGUUUCCAUCCUCGUUUGAUUUCCGAGUUGGGGGUUUUGCAUGGAUUUUCUCGGAAAUCAAACAAGGGCGAAUUUUCCCGGAAAACGAAAUGGGGGGCCGGAAAAAAAGCAAUUUUUUUUUGUUUUCCUUGGGGUUUUGCAUGGAUUUUCUCGGAAAUCAAACAGAAAACGAAUGGGGGCGGAAAAAAAAGCAAUUUUUUUGUUUUCCUUAGGGUUUUGCAUGGAUUUUCUCGGAAAUCAAACGGAAAAUAAAUGGAGGCGGAAAAAAAGCAAUUUUUUUUGUUUUCCUUAGGGUUUUGCAUGAAUUUUCUCGGAAAUCAAACAAGGAUGAAUUUUCCCAGAAAAUGAAGGGGGGGCGGCGGCGACGACAGAUCCAGAAAACAUAGGGAGCAAAAGAAAAAGCAAUUUUUUUGGUUUUCCUUGGGGGUGGAUUUUCUCGGAAAUCAAACGAGGAUGAAUUUUCUCGGAAACGAAUGGGGGGAACGGGGGAGCAAAAAAAAAAGUAAUUUUUUUGGUUUUCUUGGGGGUUUUGCAUGGAUUUUCUCAGAAAUCACGAGGAUGAAUUUUUCCCGGGGAAACGAUUUGGGGGGGGGGGGGCCAGAAUUUUCCGGGAAAACGAAGGGGGGCGGUGGGAGGGAGGAGGAAAAAAAAAAAAAAGGGUAAUUUCGGAAAUAGGAAUAUAAACAGUAAAUAAUGCAUAAAACCAAUAAUAUUUUUGUUAUUAACAUGUAAAAUCCAUAUUUCAGUUAUAUGGUUUCCAAAUCUACAUAUUUUUCAUAUAAGGGUCUAUAAACACAACUUUCCCAAUAAAUAAAGUAAGCUAGCUCAUUCUCGUGAGUUUAGAUGGCAGAGACCAUGCCCAAAAGCCAUAGACAAAGGACAAAUUUUGCAGAGAGCCCUCCAGAUGCGAAGGUCAAGUGGCCACUGACAUGACCCUGUCGCGUCAGCAAUAAUAAAUUAUUGUAGGCGGCGGACCAAAAACAAUUGAAAACAGUGGGACCCAUAUGCUUGAUGGUUUUUCAGUAAUCAUCAUCAUCAUCAUCAUCUCAUAAUGAAGUGAUAAGAAUGGUGAUUGGCUGGAUUUGGUUAGAAUGAUGACUAAGAUUCGAGAAAGCUGUAGAUGUACAUACAACUUAUAUUAAUUUAAUAAAUAUAAAUGGCAAUUAACACAUGCGCUCCCAAAGCCAGGGGGCAAUCAUGAAUCAUGGCACGUCAGGCACAACUAUUUUUGUGUACAUUGGGACUCUUCAACUUGGUUUUGUGCCCUUCUGGUGCUUUGACGGGACGCCUUUGCGGUUGAUUUUUCUUUUGCUAACGCGUCCUGUAUUUAGUAGUCCCUUAACAUAAAUUUGGUUAUAAAAAAAAAUAUUUAUCCAUCCUCGUGAUAUUAAAGUUUUAUUCAUGGCCAAAUAAUGUGUCCAUACGUUUCAAAUAAAUCUGAACUAUUUCUAAACAGGAAAGUCAAAUGUCUGAUAGGAGGAAAACAAUUUAAAUUAGAAAUAAUUCAAGUAAAAAUUAUUCAAAAUAGUGAAAACCUAUCAUUAUCAUUUGUGGAUAUGAAUGGGAAAAAGCUAGAAUCGUGGUUCAAAUUUGAUGACUAAAUUUUUGGCCACAUGCCUAAUCCCUUGGAACUCCUGCUAUCGUGGUAUAUGAUGCGAUAAUUGCUAAUUGCUCUUCCAAAUUUUCUUAUCCAGAAAGAUGCAAGAACCCAGAAUUUUCAAGAAUGUUGAAACUAUUAUUGAGAGCAUAUGGAUUAUGGUGGAUAAUUACACAUCCCAUUUUGAAGAACCUUUCUGCUUUAUAACCCAAUCAAUCCUCAUUGGGGCAGGCCACUUAAAGCUACGCACAGCCUGAUUGGUUGCUGUUGCGUCCAACCAUGACUGCUAUCCCGAAUCUUCAAUAUCCUCCAACCCACCAUGCCUGACAUUUGUGCGCUUUAAAGGGGAUUCGGAUCGCGACUUGUGUCUUUUCUGUAUGCCAUCUCAACUACUCCUAAUUCAUUUGUUCCCAAAAUUUAUGCCAAAUUUUGGCCAUAGUCAAGGGUGGUUGUGAAUACAAUUUAAAAGGACGAGAGGUUGUAUUUUAAAAAAAUAUUUUAAACUACCUUCAUCUUCAUCAUAUUUUAAAAUUUGUUGGAAAUGAUGAUAAUAAAAAAUAUAAAAUAAAAUAAAUAAAAAGGUAAAAUGUGACUAAAACUGCAUAAAUAUUUUAAACUUUUUUUUAAUAAAUUAGUUAAAUGAUAGUAUUCAUAAUUAGGAAAUGUUUAAAAUAUUGGUAAAUACAAGUGGAUAUUUUGAUAAAAAUAUAAAUGAGAUGAAAAUGAUUCAAAAUUCACUAAAAUACUUGAAAAAAACUCUUAAAAAUGAUAAAAAGUAAAUAAGAAUAUAUAUAUAAAAGUUAUUUUAUAAGUGUAAUUGAUAUAAGUACUAUUAAAUAUAAUAUUUAGUUUAAAUUCAUUUAAUAUAUUUAUAUUAAUUCAUUUUAAAAUUUUAAAAAUACUUUUAUUAAAACAUAUUUUAUUAUAUUUUAAAUAAAAUAUUAAAUUGAUUUAUGUAAAAUAUCUUAUUUGAAAUUUGAUUUCUAAAAAUUUGUUACAAAUAUAUGGUGAUAAUUUUUCUAUUAACAUUAAUUUAUUUAAAUAAUUAAAAUUAUUAAUAAUUUAUCUUAUCAAAUUAAUUUUUAUUUAUAAAAUAUUAGGACUUCAUUAAUUUUUUUAUAUUGUAGAAAUUUUUGAGUAAAAUUAUAUUUUUAAUAUUUAAAAAAACAUUUAACAUUAAAUAAAAUUAAACGGAUAAAUAAAAAAAUUAAGAAUGAAGUGAUAGUAAUUUUUUAAAAUAUUAUUAAUGAGAUAAAUAUAAAAAGUAAUUAAAAAUAAAAAAAUAACAUAAAAUAAAAUAAUAAUGUAGAUUUAAAAUAAAAAAUAAUUAAGAAAAUAAAAAAGAUAAAUAUUUUUAAAAAAAACUUUCAAAAAAAGUCUCCAAUAAAUUUGACAUAUUAUCGAUAUUUUAUCAAAUUCUUAUUAAUCCAAUAAUCAAUGUUCAAUAUUAUGUCAAGCAACACUGAUAUUCGAUAUAUCAACAUAUUUCAUAAAAAGAAUCUGAAAUUUUAAUCCAAUUGGGAAAAGAGCAAAGGAAGGCCAACACAAUGACUUGCACGCUUGCUCAAUCAAGAAAAUGAAAUGCCUUUCAUUGGAUUAUUAAGUUCUUUUUUAUCGAGUAGUGUGCUUUCACUUUCCUAAAUAAUCGUGGACUUCACAAUCGCAAGAUGCCACGAAGACAAGUGAUUGCUGGCUCGGAUGAAGAACUAGUGCUUGGUGCUUAAUACUAUUCAUAGAUUCCAAUGCAUUCAUAGUCAGCACAUGAAUCGAACAAUUGUAUGGAGGUGGAGUCUUGUCGCCCAAAAGGCACAUGUCAUGUCAAGUCAUAAUGGUUCAUGACCAACGUCUAUUUCAAUGCAGAAUGAAUAUAGAGAUAGAAGGGUUAAGGGAAUCUAAUUUUGAGUUAUUCAAAAUUAUUCUAAAUGAUUUAGAUAUUUUUUGAAAAUCUAAACCUAGAUUUAGGUAUUAAUCAAUUUAUUACGACACCAAAAUUAGGAAUAUGUUAUUUCAUGUAGAUGGCAUUAACUUUUAGACGUCUAGCAAAAGCAAUGACGGUGGGGUGUGCCAUCCCUUGUGGCUGGGAAAAGGGGAGUGUUGUUAUGGGUGGAAGUGUUGGAAAACAAUAGCAUGCGUUAUAUUGUAUUCUAUGCGUGAUCAUUUUAGAGGCUUGUGUGGCUGGCGGCAUGUACGGAUGAAGCUAGAAAGAAUAGUUACUCCAUGAGAAAAAAAGAAAUAAUAAUUAUAAUAAAAAAAUAUAAUAAUAUUAGGGAUUUUUAAAAAAUAGAUUAAGAUUUUUUUUAAAUUUGGGAAUUAGUUAAUUAAAAUGAUACUUCUUGGAAGGAUUGUCAUGGAUAAUAAUGAUAACACAAAAUGUUAUUAGAAAUAUUAAAUUGUAAUCUUAGAUAAAUAGAAAAUAAUAAUUAUUAAUUUUUGUAUUAUGUUAUAUUAGGUGUGGAUUAAGUUUUUCAUAAAUUGAAGUAAUUUAUUUUAAACAGGUGUUGAUAGUGAAACAAGUUUAUAAAUCCUUAUCAAACUUUAAAAAUAUCAAAAUGUUUGAAUUCUUUAGAGUUCAUUUAAUGACAUUUUUUCAAAUACAUUUUUAUUUGUUUCUUAAUCGAUUUGUUAUGAUCGAUGGUGCCACCUUGUAUCUAGUCCUACUAUUUAAGGAUAGUGUUGUUCUUAGUAGAUCAUAAUAAAAUGUUUAUUUAUAUAAUUCUUUUAAUAUGAACUCAUUAUGCAAAGUGUAUUAUGCUUUUUUUAAUUGAAUCAAAUAUAAAUUUAUGUUAUUUAUCGAUACCUCAUUUUCUAAAAAAAAAAAUUUAAUAUUUUCCCGGCUUUAAUUUUGCAUUGUACUUUAUCGUUCUUAUUGUACUAGUUCUCGUUACUAAGUUGUCAAGUUCAUUCAUUUAUAUUAUUUUACUUUUCAAGUACAAAUGAAACUAAUGAUGAAUUAUCAGGAUGGAAAAGAUAUUUCUAUUGAUACUCUAAAAUUUAUGGUUUAAGAACCUAAUUAUGAUUUCUAGAUUUUUUGUUCAAAAUAUUUGGAUAAUUUUCAACUUAUAAUUGAGAAAUUUCAAUUAGUUUUUAAGUGAUAAUUUAGUAUCUUUUAAAUUAUAUUUAAGCUUUAAUUAUUGUUUUCAAUCAAGUUAAGUUAAUUGGCAACUACAUAUAUCAUAGAUUUGGCUAGUUAUGGUCAUUCAUGUGUUGGAUGUUAGGCUCCAUAUGAAAUGACCUUGGUGUCAUUAAUCUCCAAGUUCAAAGUGUCAGAGAGUGGUACUAGAGUUUUAAAAUAUGGUCUUGUGGGUUUAUUGACUUAGUUGGGAUUGAGUUAGUGAAUGUGUGCUGACAUAUCCCCAUUUUUGUUGUGAAUUUUUAGUUAUUGUCAAUAAAUAAGUUAUCUUAGUUUUAAUGUUUUAUAUUGUUUUCGCUUUAAUCCUUUUCACCUUAUGAUGAAUAGGUUAUUAUGGCCUCAAGAUGUAUUACUUCUCAUGGUAAUCAACUAUUGUAGGAGUCGUCAAGACCAUUAGGAAUGUGAAUGUCUUACUUAGAGUUAGAGUAUAUUUGAAAGUGAUUUUAGAAAGUGUUUCUAACAUUUUUAACAUUUGAAUGAUAAAAAUUUUCAAGUAUUAGAAAUAUUAAAAACGCUUCCUAAAAUUACUACUAAACGAACUCUUAAUGAUAUACCAUUUGACACUUAAAGGUAUAGCUCCAGCUAUGGAUACCUAGUUUAGAUUGGUUAAACAAUAGACAUGUGUUAUUAAUAUUCAAGCUCCAAUUAUCGAGGUUUAAGCCAUUAAAGGGGCGUAAUGACACUUUCACAAUGUUAAAGAAAAACCUUAUAAAACGAGGCAAAAGUAGGCAAAACCCCACCUUCAUAUGCUCUACAAGGAUAUAUCCCUUCCCAAGACUAGGGAUGGCAACGGGGCGGGUUUUUUCGGGUACCCGCCCCGCCCCUAAUGGGACGGAUUUGAAAUUUAAUAAACGGGUUUUUAACGGGUAUGGGAUUUUUUUUUUUAACCCGGGGCAAGUUCGGGUAUUGCCCCAUCCCGCCCCGUUUACAUAUAAAAUCAAUUUUAAAAUUUAAUUUAAUUUAAAAUUUAAAAUUAAUUUUAUUUUACUAUUUUUAAUAUAUAGAUAAUAAUAAAAAAAUUAAUAAAAUAAGUUAUAAAAAAUAUAAUAAUUUUAUUAUUUAUAAAUAUAUUUAUUUUAAUGUAAUUAAAAAUUUUAAAAGCAAAUUUAUUUUUAUUUUUUUUUUAAAAAAGGAGGCUAAACGGGGCGGGGCGAGGCGGGUUUGGGAGUUUAAUUUUUUAAACGGGACAGGUAUGGGAAUUAUUUUUGAUAAACGGGGCGAGGUUGGGAUGGGGGCGACCCGUCCCGAACCCGCCCCGUUGCCAUUCCUACCCAAGACACAACUAGUCCUUAUGAAAGACUUGUGAUCUUUGUGUUGGGGUGAAUUUGAAAACGGCAAACCAAGGACGCUACAGCUGAAACCAUAAGAGAUACCUUUGAGAAAUGAGGGGCAAAGAACAAAAAAUAACAAUAAAAGGAACGAGAAAGGAAGAAAUAGAUAGACAAAGAGGCAAAAAGCACAAAAAGAAAGAAAUUAAUAGAAGUGUUUUAUGUAGGCAUAUGAAAAUACCAUUGAGAAACUUGAAAUCAACAAAAUUAUUAUGCCACUCACAUCAUUUCUCUUAGAAUAUGCGCCCACUGUUACGCUGUCUUUUAAUUUACCUAUCUAUCAACUCUCUCAAGCAGGAAAAUUGAAAUUUUACGUACACUUUUAGUUCUUCUACAUGUUCUCUUCUUUGAAACUUCAUGGCUAACUUAUCCACGGAAAAGGAAUUAAUGUUUUAACCGAUCACUAUCUAUUUGCCGGAGUAAAUGUGUCAUUGCACGGAGCCCACAAGUGUCACGAUUGAAGAAGAUGGUACAACUACGACUAACCUUUUGGAAUAAAUGGGCCUGACCCUGGUCGGCUACAACCAGAUGUGAAGUUUAAAAGAAACAGGCUGGGCCUUAGGUUAAUUGGGUGGCAGUUAAAACUAAAACCAAGCCAAGCCCAUAACCUGAAUUAGCUGGCCCAGUCAGUUUGAGUUGGAUAGAGCCAGCACAUAAGGAAGCUAAAUAUAAUCACGGAUUAGAAUUGAUUUUAUUGUUAUACUACCUCUUUCUUUUAUUAUAUUCAUUAGAUUUAAAGUUAGUACAUCCUAGUCAUUUAAAACUUUUUCUUACAAAAAAAAAUAAAUGCAAAAGUCCUUUAAUAGUAAAAUACCAUAGGCUCUCAGUUGGACCAGAUCCAACUUAAACCCGUGUGCAGCCCAGCUUAAACUAGGUCUAGGUCAGGUGGAUUCAGUGAUUAAAAGUUCUCCCAUCUUUAAUUGACAUUCCAGCAAGGUUUGAGCUCCCAUAAAAUUAAUAUAUUCUUGCCUCAUUUAAUUUGGGCCCGCUUCGAUUAUGUGAGGCCGGGCACUGCUUGAGCCCAAAGUAAUAAGCACUCAACCCAAUCUAAGAGAAGUGGACGCACUGUUGGCAGCGCCAGGUCAAGUCAGUAAUUGGACAUAUCAACCCAACACUUUAUCAAGUUCUUUUUCAAAGGCCUUUGCAAUGUAUGGUCAUGCAAUACAAAUAUUUAAAGUGGAAAAUGAUUGAAUUUGAGGACAUUUUCAGUACAAUUGGGGUGGGAUGGUUGUUUGGUCUCCAAAAGACGUUCUAAAAUUUAAAUCUCUUUAUAUAUUAAAUGAAGAUUUUUGACAAAUUUUUUUUCCAAAAAAGAAAAAAGAAAAAAAGAAGUAAAAAGAGGAAAGACAAAAGGAACUCUUGGUAAUUAUUGAUCUUAAUUGACGUUUAACCCCGAUCCAAAAUCCCAAGGACAACUCGAAGGUAGAGAGAAAAGUGUUAGGGUUAAGACAAUGUAGGGUAUGUCCUGGCAAAGGGUGGAUUGCAUCCAAGUAGAAUGAUAUAUAAAUAUAAGGAGAUGGCCUACCGGAUGGAGAUACCUAAAACUCGAAUUGUCCCUUUCUUUCUGCCUACAUAAAGGGACAUUUGAGGCCUAAAAGUCAUUUGCAGUUCACAUAUGAGCUACAAGUGUGAACCUACAUGGCCCCGGAGCCAGAACAUGAGCUUGCAGCGUAGAUAUCAUACAAGGCCCACUGUCCCAGUUCUGGACCACACCAUGCCCCUUACCACCCACUAGCGCUUCUGCCUACAUUUAAUGCCACCGUCUGCUUUUUCUUUAAUGCCUUUCUAUUACCACUACCCACCAUUUUACUCGUCCCAUUCUCCACCAGUUUCUUAAAUUGGAAAUUCUAAAGCUACCGUUGCUUUUUCUUUUAUACGGAUUCAAUUCAACUCUCCCUUAAUUUUUUUUAUUAGUUAAAUCAUCGAUGAACAAUUAUAACAUAAAAGAUAUUUUAUUGACGGCUUUUUAAUUACAAGAAUUAAAAAAAAAUGGUGUGAAAUUGGAUUUAAUCUAAUUUGAACAUUGUCCUUUUGAGCUGCCUUCCAAGAUCAAGAGUUAUCAACCCAAACUAUCCUCUACGUAUAUGGUGUAUGUGCCUCAAGAUGUACGUAUUUGAGAUGAUAUUUUAUUUUAUAAAAUUGGAAAUUACUUUUGUCUGCAGCGUCAAAACUGGGGCAGGAGUACACCCCAAAUGCAGGUCAUGACUUGGAAUUACAACUCAUGUUUGCCAUAUUCCUUUUUAUGCUGUUCUUUUUAUCCUUUCAAGGUAUUUUCUCUUAAAGAAACAGUACAAAGAGCAAGAAAGAAGGGAAGAAAAACUCAAAAGCAAUGUUUUCCUAAUCAAAUGAAUCUCGAAGCAAAAUGAUCAUGAAUGAUCCUUUUGAUUUUAUUCUAAAACUGCUCUUUCAAGUGCUCUUUACAUGUUGGUCUUGUAUGAUCAUCAGCACACUUUUUUAUGAGAGUAGGAUUCAAGAGGGCACUUUACACAAACCCAUGAAUAUUUGGACCAUGGCAGAUUGAAGGAAUGCCCAUGAAUAGGACCACGUCUAUGGUCCAGGCGUCCCAACCUUGCCAGAAAUCAGGGUUUGAUUAAUUAAAUAAAUGUUUCCUCCACUCAGGAUACACGAAAUAGAGCAACAUAUAAAACUAGAAGCAGGACUGUCUAGCCUUUCUGUACUUGGCAUGGGUGCAAUUCAUAUUUGACAUUACCUAAGAAGGAGAUACAUAAAGUUCAAGAGGGUAAGGCUCUGAACACUGAGCAGCCCCAGCCCCAUUGGAUACUCAACCUGUGGCUCACAUUACCAAUUAGGGUCUGCAACACAACCUGGAAGAACAUUUUAUUCUGGAUCAGGAUAGAAGGGUCCUUCGAUAUUUAUACUACUCACGCAUGGAAUGUGCAAUUCCAGGGAAGUAGAUGGAUCCAGUGUCCCAUCUCUCAAUUCUGAUUCCCAAUCAAAAUUAUAAUCUCAGCAGAGGUGUGGGCCUGCUCUAUAAAUCCUUGCAGCUCGGUGCCUUUUGUGUUUAUACUACCUAAAUGCUUCAGAAGUGGACGCUAUUGCUGGAAUGCUCCAUUGGCUCAUAUGAGAAUAUGACAAUGGUGUUAAAACUGAGUCUGACAAUCGCUGAUCCCACCAUCCAUUUACUCCACCGAUUCCGCACCCCAUUCUCCAAAGAAAGAUGAUGCAUUGAAUAAUGUUUUUGGCUCUGUUGAGGUCCCCAAAUCCGAGCAGACCCCAGUAAAUUAUUCUCACUGUUACAUCUAGGGCUCAUUCUAAUUGGCUAAGUUGCGGUCCUAAAAUACAAGCUGAAUUACUUUUUAGGUGUCACAAGUAGGAUGAGAAAAGUCAGGUGAGCAUGGAGAAUUGCCUAACAGUUAGAUGCUGGUACUUUUAUAUUCGUUUUACAGAAUUUUAGAUGGGGUUUGGUUGUAGCCUUGUGGAAAGGGAUUUGAAAACUCGUAUGUCCAUGGUGACUUGGAAUGAGUUAGUGCUGUGAAAUAUUGAGAGGUGGUGGCUGCUUUGCGGCCAGCAUAGAGUAGUACUAAUGGGCAGCUAACCGGACCGAAGGAAGAGCCAAAAUGAAUGGGGGACAAGUUGGAAAUUUCGAUGGAAUAGUGACCUAACAAUAAUAUCUUGUUGGUACAAUCAUGUUCUGUUUCUUUUUCCCCCUUAGAAUCUGAAUAAAUUUGAAUAUAUAUUCAAUAUUAACUGUUGAAAAGAACUCCUCAUAAGAUUUUUUUGGCUUCUGUUUUGAAAACUUCCCUUUUAAAAAAAAAAAAUUCUUGUUUUAGGGGAUGUAUCACUCCUUCACCUAUAGAAAAAUUGGGGUGCCUUGCUUCCACGUGAGACACAUUUUUUAUACAAUGCUCAAAAGCCUUAAAAACACUAACGUUGAGCAGGUCAAAAGGGUGAGCAUUGAACUAUGAGUAAAAGAUGGCAAUGUCCAUAAAAGAAGUGAAGGUGUUUACUGAACCAAGCACUCUGAGCUCUGUCCUUCUCAUGGUCUCUAAUCCAUCUCUUAUCAUUGUCCCUCUCUUUUUUUUCUUUUUGGGUUGAAAUAUACCGAGUCCAUUCUCUAAUCUGCCAAAAGCAGAGAGCAAAAGGGCUAACAAAGACACACCAACACAAAAUCAAAAGAUAUUGUUCCCCAAUUCAAACAUUCUCUCCACCUUUCACCUUUUCCCCCUUUUAUUUUUUGUGGGUUUGCUUUUUGGUGGAUCUAAUUUAAUCCAAAAUCUCUUUAAUCUUCUCCAGCACCUCCUUUGCUAAUCCGGCAUAAAAUCCUGUUCUUUCUUUUGGUUGAUCCACCCAUUUUUCAUCUUUGCUUUUCCCUUUCUCAGAUGCGCCCCAAUCCACAAAGAACUUCAUCCCUUUCUGUGACAUCAAAAUUCAACCAAAAUUUGGCACUGUAGAGCUCCUUAUACAUGGAAACAAUUAUGAAAGAGGACAAACAUCAGCUUGGUAUGAUGCUUCAUUGCAUACGUGUCGGCACCCAAAUCCACAAGGAGGGAGAGCAUGGGAAUGAUUUGGUCAAUAUGAGUAGAAGGGAACUGACUUUAUAUUAUAUAUUUCCCGACAUUCACGGUGCUAAAUCUUAUAAUAUGUAAGAUUCAUAGUGUGAGUGAGUUAAACAUAAUAGGCUGUUGUGGCUUGUGAGUAAUAAAUCUAGAGUCUUGUGUACUUAAGAUUUGAUUUGAAAGCCAAGUCAUGAUUCCCUUUAGUUUAAAGUGCUAGAAAGCACAUGCAGGCCUUCUUCUAGUUGUCUUUUGUGGUAGCAACCACUCUGAAGAAAGAGAGAGACUACCUAUUAGUUUAUACGUUUGUGCCGAGAAAGAUUAGACUCGUUCACCUUCUACUUUGAUUAUAAUAUUCUUCCCUUGAAUUUUCUAGGAAGAAAGCCAUCCUAUUCAAACCAAAAACAAAGGAUCAUGGAUUCUGUACCCUCCCUGGUCUUCAGACUCUUCACUCUUUAACUUAUAAAAUCAUGAAUCCUGUCAUCUUUUUUUAUAUUAUUUUAUUUAUCCUUUCCGUUUUUUCAAAUGACAAAAGAGCUCAUGGUGGUGCAACCCCAUAUAUUUUAUCACGUCUUGGGGCUAAAAAUGGAAAGAGAAACUAGCUGGCAUCACCUCAUUGAAGUCAUUCUUAUAUUUCUUGGAAACCUAUGGGUAUAUUAUAUAUAUUUCCUAAAUAUAUAAGCCUUUACUGUCCUAGACAUUAAAUGAUUCCAUGCUUAAUUAUGGUUGAACCCGUGCUCCAGAAUAAGGUUGAGAUUCAAACAUCUUGAUCCAGUUGAAACCAAAAUAAAAAAAUGAAUGAUCUGAGGUUCAAAUCCAAAGAUCAAUAGCUGCACAAGAAACGUACACUCGCGAAUAUUCAAUAAAGUAACAGUGAAUAUAUCAGACCCUAUUGAAUAUCUUGGAGUGAAAGGCUAAAAGGACUCAAAUAGUCUACCCAAAAAGUAUUUAUCAUUCAGCCCUAUUAAAUGAACUUAGGUUUCACCUACCCUUGUAUCUCAAGAACAUAUGACUUACAAAGCAUAGGUCCAUGUUAACCGCUGCCCAUUAAAAGAUAAAACUAGUGGACUAGUCAUAAUGAAUAACUUUAUUUGAAUAUUACGCAACUUGAUCAAUUGCAGUUUAUUGGCAUUUCUUUUAAAAGAUUGAGCUUCGGGAUGAAAUAAUGGCUAUAAAACAGUGCAUGGCAUGGCUAUAGAGGUCUGUUAACUCAGAUUAAGCUCCAUUGAUGCAAGUUAUAACAGCCAAUAACUUUAGACAAGUUGAAGAAGAAAGGGAGAGGAAGAGUGUGAAUAAAAAUCAAGAAAAGGUCGGUGUUUCUCAGCUGGGUAGGUAAGUCUAUAGUCCAGUCCAGGACAUUAGUGCCCUCCUUUCAAACAGAGUCUCACAAAAACGAGGUCAAACACCACAUAAUGGUCCCAAAAAAAAACCAUAAAAAUGCCAAUGGCCGACAACACCUUCCUCCUUUCACAUGCAAACAACUUCCCAUGGAUUUCCAUUUCGCCUUCCUCGUUUCUGCUGUUACAGCCAAAACAUUAAGCCACAUCUCGCUAUGCUCCAUUCUCCAUAUCCAUAUUUGAGACAUUUUUUAUAUGUACAGGAAAUAAUCAAAGAUAAUUAUAAGCUAUGCAAGUUACUAUUAUAGAAUUAUGCUCAUACAAGAGAGUGAGUUACAUAUUCAAAUGCUCUUCUUCAUUGCUAUGCUUAUGUUCUUUACUUUCAUCCGGAUAAAAUGCCAGCUAUCUCUGCUUCCGAAUCUCAACAUCCAUCGCUCGUAGAGAUGAUAGCAGGGCGUAUCCAUGAUCCAAUGAGUUGGAUUUGGGUGGAAAUGCAGAGAUGGUAGGCAAUUUAACAAGGCACAUCAAAAGAACAUAUACAUUAUUUAACAUAUAAGACAGACUAGUCCAUGAGAAAGGGGGAAUUGAGGAACUAGCGAGGAAUGACCGUCGGGGCAUCAGCAGUAGCUUGGUUGAGAGUCUGCAGAUGCUGCUCCUGACCUCUACUCUUCUUGGACAAAUGCUCCGAUGAGGAAGGCGAGGAAGAAACCGCUACAGCCCAUGAAUCAUUUGAGCUGUCGCAGCUGAACCAUCCAUCCAUAACGCCAUUUGGACUGCCCGGUGUGGAGGCAAACUUGCGUUUAUUGUGAUGGUGACAACGGGCACUCGAUGCUAUAUCCAGGAUGAGCUGACUGCAAUCCUCUACUUUGUCCUGUUAAGACAGAUAGGAUCAUAAUUUAAGAAACAUUGCACAAUAAUCUUCCAGAUUCAACGUUAAGAACAAAAUACACAAGGAUUUGGCAUAACGAGAAGUAAGAACAACAAACCUUAUCAAUUCCGAGAAUACCCAGUAGCUGGCUCUGGUAUUGGACACGAAUGCAGGGUUCUACGCUAUCGAUGACAUGCAGCAUUAUGGCGGUGGCGAUUACAGAAGGAAGAUAACACCCGAACCUACAAUCUUUAUUAAAGGAACACAAAAAUGAACCAUGUGACAACCAACAGGUGAUGGAUUGAAACUUUUUUUCCCAAAGAGAGCAUUAUUUGUCAAUGUGCGAAGGGAAAGACUUUGACGGCUUACCAGAAAGAACAGAGAGAAGGAGGCGCUCACACCUCUUGAGAAAUUCCCAACAGAGAUGAUUUUUCAAUCCAAGCCUCCUCGUAAUAUAAUCAAGAAAUGAAAGCGGGGUCACAGGGUUCAUCUUCCAUCGAAGCGUGGAGAGCACCAUAAUCUCCAUCCUCUGAAUGGUCUUUGCCUCGAACACAUACAUCGUCUCCUCCACCUGAAUAAAUUAUUAAAAGGAAAAAUCCAAUGUUGAUAAAGAAAGCAAGGACGACGAAAUGGAAGCAUUUCAAGGAAAUCCAAGUAUGGCUGAAUCAGACAUACUUGCAAGUCUAGUAAAAGGGGCACUUGGGUCUCUUCCACCUUAGCAGCAAGGGAGAGACAAGCCACAGCGGCGAGUUGGGUCAUCCAUGGCUUUUCUCCCUGAACAUCGCAGCUGAAGAGAAACCUAUCAAAAUAAUUAACAGCCAGGACUGCAGUGAGAGCAGAGAAAGAGUAGUGGGCAUUGACCCUCAGCAUCCACUCCACGGCCUCGCUUCUAGCUCCAGCCGCUAAUGGGUUGCUUUCGGGGUUACUAUGGAGGUCAUUUUUCUCUUCUUUUGAGAACAAAGAGACGAGCUCUUCGUCUUCGCAUAGGAGGUCCGGCUCCAAUAACGGUGGAGCGUUUGGUUUACUGCCAUCACUGUAAUAGCUCUCUUCUUCUUCCUCUUCUAAGAAACCCUCCUCUCUCACUUCUUCCUCCCAGUGGUUCUCUUCGCAGUAAAGAGUGUCCAAAAGGAAUGGGAGGUUGUGCGGCUGUUGGUGUGUUUUCUGUUCUUGAGGCUGAGCCAUCUUCUUCUGAGAAGAAGAGGUCUGGGCCUUGGUUCAUUAUAAUCCAGAGAAGAUGAGGAAGAAAGAGAAGCCUGAGCUCCAAGCUUGAGGCAUCUCUCUCUCUCUCUCUCAAUACUGGGGAGGGACUAGGGAGACUCAAAUGCAAUUCAAUAAACCCAAAAUGGAUGAUGUGGAAUAUGUGUGGGUUUGCAAGUAGCUAGCCGCAGCAGUGUAUUUUAUUGGAGGGUCUGGUGUCUAACGUCUCAGAGCUGCAUCAUGGGCCAUGCAGCACAAUAACUCGACACGUGACAUCUGUACUACAGAUUGCGGGACCCACGGCAAUAUGAACCGUGGAUGAGAUGGUGUGAGCCAUUGAAAUUAAAGACUUUUAUCCGGCAUCCAUGAUUUUUACUAGGAAGGCAGAAUGAUGAGAGCUUGUACCGCCAUGAGGAAUAUGAUGGAACAUUAAUUUUGAUUUUGGUCGUUUCUAACACUCUUUGACAUUUUGCUUGGGCAGAAUGCUUUGGAGCAGGCAGCAGCACGUACACGAAAACAACUUCUGAAGCUCUGAAAGCUCUCAUGGAGGGAAAGCAAAGGCCAUGAUAGCUGGCAAUUGCUGGGGGAGUGAGGGGUGUUUUCUUCUAUAAUCCCUCACCACCUUAAUUAUCGUGGAUACCUUUUGUUUGUUUUCCCCUUCCACCUUACUAUUAUUUUAGUAUGCAAUUCACACAUUGCCUGCAAGUCAACACCCUGCAUUCACUCGCCUAUUUGGGGUAGAUUAGAUUGUAUAUUUAUUACCCGAUUAUGAGCAUCGACCAUUUUUAAACCCAGAUUGGAAUAAAGUUAGGUUAUCUUAUUCAGGUUGGCACGUAUGGGCCACGACACUCCGGUGGCAAGUUUCUUGCUUGGUUCAAAAUUUACCAAAUCCUCCAUUCACACGUUCAUGUCCAAAUUCUAUUUUCAAUGGAAUCACUCCAGGCAACGAGUUUGACUACAUUUGUUGGCAACCCAUGGAUUAAGCCCGGUUAGAUUCGACCAAUUUGAUAUAACCUCAAGGAUAUUUGUUUCCUGACCUUAAAGUAAUGUUUUUUAUUUGUAGUAUUUUUUUUAUCAAAUAUUUCUCUGUGAAUUACUAUUAACCAGACUUUAAAGUCGUAUUAAUUAGCAGGAAAAAUUGUUGACUAGAUAACUCCGUGUUCAUUGGGUUGAACUUUAUCAUCAGAGAAUGGUGGGGUGUCUGGUUGGUAUUGGGUUUCUCAUGUAAACAUGCAGCCAUGCAUGUUUAGAUGGACAAAUCUGUUCCCUAAUGAUUAGCCAUAUUAGGUCCAUUUUACUUAAGUGAGUAAUUUAAAUGCUAAUUGCAGAAGACCCUGGCAGUAAAAUCCAA
RNAcentral lists this long non-coding RNA (82770 nucleotides) under Vitis vinifera (wine grape). RNAcentral describes it as "long non-coding RNA (VVIN_LNC006011)". Lineage: Eukaryota; Viridiplantae; Streptophyta; Magnoliopsida; Vitales; Vitaceae. The record is from RNAcentral.